RNAcentral lists this long non-coding RNA (55105 nucleotides) under Citrus maxima (pomelo). RNAcentral's name for it is "long non-coding RNA (CMAX_LNC001684)". Lineage: Eukaryota; Viridiplantae; Streptophyta; Magnoliopsida; Sapindales; Rutaceae. The record is from RNAcentral.
CUAGCAACAGAGGGGGAAAAGAAGAUCAGCUGGGUAAUAGGAAGAGAAGAAGGCGGUAAGUAUCUGACAGCAUAUUGGGCUGAUCUUCAUGGCCUGAUAUACAAUACUCUGCCACCUGAAAUAUUUUUAUGGGGUCACCAGUACCUCUCUUUCUGUAUUUCUGAAGACAAAUUAACUAUCAAAGUUAGAGCUAAGGAUCUUGAGACUGAUGAAAUAAUCGAGAUAGUAGGAGAUUUGCUCGUCGGAGCAGAUGGUAUCCUCUCAUCAAUUGGUCACAGCAUUCUACCGAACUUCAAAUUGAGGUUUGUGCUUGCUUGUGAAUAUCAAUAAAAGUAAUUAAUUUUUGAGAAUUUUGUUUCAUAAAUUUCAAUGUGUUUUUAAUAGGUACACAGGAUACUGUGCGUGGAGAGGUGUUUUUAAUUUUUCAGAAAACGAUUCAGAAACCAUCUUAGGCAUUCGAAAAUCGUAUCCUGAUAUUGGGAAAUGCUUUUACACGAAUAUUGGUUCAGGAUCUCACAUCAUACUCACUGAGCUUAAGAAAGAGAAGUUCAAUUGGGUUUGGUAUGUCAAUCAACCUCAGCCCGAGCUCAAGGUAACUGCUUACUUUUGUUUCAUCUUUCUAUUUUGGUUUCGGGGUUUGAGUUGAGUGCUAAAAUCUAAUUUUUGCAAACGAUCAACACAGCUCAGACCAUCACUGGAUCCAUUUUUUUUUUUUAAUUUUAAUUUUCCGGUUUAUCAAUGCAGUAUGACGUGACAUUGGGAAACAAAUUAUUUUAUUCUCUGCAGGGAAAUACAACUUCUGUGAAAGUAAGCAGUGACAUGAUCGAGGAGUUGCACCAAAGAGCAGAGCAGGUUUGGUUACCUGAAUUGUCAAGAAUGAUCAAAGAAACAAAGGAUCCUUUCCUUAAUGCUAUCUAUGAUUGCGAUCCUUUGGAGAAAAUCAUCUGGGACAGAGUGGUGCUAACAGGAGAUGCAGCUCACCCGACAACUCCACACUCUGCCAGAAGCACAAACAUGGCGAUAAUAGAUGCAGCAGUGUUAGGAAAAUGCCUCGAGAAGUGGGGGCCGGAUCAUUUAUACUCUGCUCUGGAAGAAUAUCAAUCCAUUAGGAAGCCUGUAACUUCAGCACAAGUUCUACAUUCGCGACGAUUGGGUCAAAUGAAACAGGGGUUAAGUAUUCCUGGAAGGGAGCGGCCUUUUGAUCCAAAGACAGCAAGUCUAGAGGACUCGGAAUUCAUCCUUAACAAAAAUGUGCCUCUCGUCGACGUUGUUCCUCCGAUUCUUGAUUCAAUUUUUCGUUCUGCUUGAUAAUUUUCAAGGGAGAAAGUAACAUUUUCAUUUUUAUGCAACAAAGUCAUCUAGAGACAAACCUUCUCUUGUGUUCUCACAGCUUUGGGGAAACUUCAAAGGACACGGCUUGGUCUGUUCAUUAUGCUAACUAUAGCUGCCUAUAAAUAAGAGGGUUGACCUCAAUUGUGUGAGUAAAAGAACUGCUAUACUUAUGUUCCUUCCUGUAAUAACGAAAGCCUCUUACUUAAUUCAGUGUCUCUACUUCUUCAGCAAAAUAAAAAUAAAUUCUUGAUCGAAUACACCCAACUUUUCCAAUUUUCUUAUAAAAAUGACACCACGAUAGGAUGGGAUUGUCCUUGUGUUGUGUCAUUGAUCUAUCCAUAUUUGUUUUUCCCAAAAACAAUUUCCAUGAAGGAGGAUGUUUUGCUGCUUGUUAGUGCACGCUAUUUAAGCACAAGACAUGAUUGAGAUUUAUGCAAGGUAUGUGGUAGAAUUUAUGUAAGACGACCGAUGAAGCUAAACAUGAGAGUUAGUAACUUUUACUAUGGUGAUCAACGCGUUGAAGAAAAAUUUUAGAAUUUUUAUUAUAAGUGGUGCAUACAAAAGUUGGUGAGUCGAACUUGUACUCAAAUACUAGCUCAUGUAUUAGGAGUUGUCUUAGGCUUACGUUAUUAGUCUAGUAACUAAUAUUAGCGAUAUGAAAUAUUUUUUCUAUCAUCUUCCAUCACAUGUGUGUAGGUCAAUCUUUUUGUUUGGUCCUUGUCUAGUGAUAAGAUAGUGUGAGUGAUUUUGAGAAAAAAUAUGAAAAACACAAACAAUGAAAAUUCCCUUUUACUUAAACUAAGACAGAGAUUUUUUUACACUGAAGUUGGUAGAAGACACUCGAAUGCGCAGGAGUGAAAUCUUGACAAAUUAAAGCGAGAACUAAGCCAUGCUAGUCCUUUCUCGCGCAUUUAGUUGACAUUAUUUUGCUUUGCAAAUAAAUGCGGGCAUGGUUGAAGGCAUUUUAUCUUUCCGGAAGUGGAUGGAGAAAUAAAGAUAAUUAAAAGGGAUGCGAAUAAUAAAUGCCAGUUUUUCUUAAUAACGAAGAAUAUAUUAGAAAUAAAUUGAAAUGUAACAAAAUACUUGAAAUAAUUCAAGUGAUGGGUUUUUUCUCUGUCAAUAACGCGCGAUAGUUCCUUGUCAUGAGCUUCUUAUCUUCUGUCUUGAAGGAAGAAAUUGCGAAAGACGAAUAAAACGAUUUCCUUUACACAUUCAAUCAAUGCUGCUGCCUUUAUAUCUUUAUUAUUCUCGGAGGGAUGAUACUGUUGAGAGCCGAAACCAUUACCCAUACUCACUCCUCUAAUAGCCAUGUCUAACUCUCUACAAUAAUUUUGAUAUUGCUGUUCUUCAGUUCUUCCACUACUCAACAAAUGUCAUAACGUUAUCUAUUUGUUAUAUGACUGACAUGAUAUUUCAGUUCUUCCUUUACACAUUCAACCAAUGCAUGCACACCACUGGUAUGGAGAUUUUUCAAAAAUAAAUACACACAUGUCAUAACGUUAUCUAUUUGUUAUAUGACUGACAUAAUCAUAACGUUAUCUAUUUGUUAUAUGACUGACAUGAUAUUUUUUAUGUAUUCUAAAAUUUUUCAGAGUGGAGACCAUGAGUGGUAACAUCCACGUGACAAAAGAGUAUUACAAAGAGAUAGUCUCUUGUCAAUUUGAAUAUUUAUUGUAUUGAAACUACUAAGUAUAUAAGCUCGGACAACCCUAAUUUCAUGAUGAGGGGUUAAAGACAAUACUAUUCUAAAAGAAAAUGGAACGAAAUCGUCCAUCCAUAGCCAUUAUUUGACUUUUAGAUUUGCCCUUCUAAAUUUUAACAAAAUGCGCAGACAAUUUUUAAUUUAUUCAAGCGAACGAAGUACAACAAAAUUAUUAAACCAAUCAGAACCAAGAUGGAAAUGAUCAUAAGCAAAAGUAAUUUGCAAGGACGAAUGGAAGCAGAUAAAUUAUUCUAAUUAAGAGAUUAAGUGCAAGUGAAAUAACUGUAGCACUGAUUAUUCGAGUGUGGAGGGAACGUCGUCGAAGAAGGGUAAACUUCUCUGUUUCAGGAUUUCACAAUCCUCAGGACUUGCUGUGUUUGGAUCAAAAGGCUCACGAUCAGGGGUAGGUAAGCCAAGUUUUAUUUGACCCACUCGCCGCGAAUGCAGGACUUGCUUGGUAGUGACAGGUAGCCUAACAGAUUGAUGUUCUUCCAGAGCUGAAUAUAAAUUUUCUGGCCCCCACCUCUCAAGGCAUUUACCUAAAACUGCUGCAUCAGCUAUGGCCAUGUUUGUGCUUCUUGCACAGUGAGGGGUUAUGGGAUGAGCCGCAUCUCCAAUUAAGACCACAUUGUCCCAGUAUAUUUGUGUCAAAGGGUCACAAUCAUAUAUAAGGUUAAGGAAAGGCUCCUUUGUUUCUUUUAUUACUCUUGCAAACUCAGGAACCCAAAUCUUCUCUGCUUCUUGGUGCAUCUUCUUGAUCAUGUCACUGCUCACUUUCAUUGUAGCUGAAUCUCCCUGAAAUUACUUAAUUAAUUUAUUAAAGCUAGCUCUGCUAACACGUAUGUAUAUAAAUGAUAAAAUGAAGCAAGUUAGGCAAUCACCUUGAGUUGAGGCUCAGGUUGAGAGAUAAACCAAAUCCAAUUGAGCCUCUUGUACAUAAGCUCAUCAAGGACGGUGUAAGUUCCAGAGGCCAAGUCCAUGUGCACGCCAUUCCCAAGCGUAGGAUAUGCCUUCCGGAUGCCUUGUAUGGUUUCUGAAUUAUCAUUUUCCGAAAAAUCAAAAACCCCCCUCCAAGCACAGUAACCUGUAUACCUGCAAAACAGAAAUGAAAAAUAAACCGUAAAUUUCAAGACAACAGAAAAUAUGAAAACAUAAUAUAAUUUGUUCAGAAACCUGAGUUUAGAGUCUGGUAAAAAAGUCUGGCGAACUGAUGAGCGGCUCCCGUCAGCCGCAACCAGCAAAUCUCCAGCUAUGUCGAUGACCUCAUCAGUUUUAAGAUUCUUAGCUUUGACAUUGACAGUUGAUUUGUCGUGAGAAAUGCAGAAAGUGAGGUACAAGUGACCCCAAAAAAAUAUUUCCGGAGGCAGAGUAUUGUAUAUAAGACUAUGAAGAUCUGUCCAAUGUGCCUGUAAAUAGUUGAAAUUUUCAUCUCUAGCUAGUAUCCGACAGAUGUUCUUUUCCUGAUCUACUGCCCGAUUCUGCACAGAAAGAAAAAUUAAAAAAAUCAGCACAACUUGUGGGAACAUCAGUUGAAAUUAAAGCAGUUCUGUGUAGACACAUACAUUACCUGAUCAAUGGUGAGAGGUAAGGUGAUGUUGUGAAGAAGAUCAGGUUGAUGGAGCCAUGACUUAACUAUUUUCUGGGACAAUGGAUGAAGUGCGAUUCCAGCGCCGGUUGGGUUUCCGGUUGGAGGUCCACGUGUCUUCUCUAUCACCACCACAUCCCAACCUGCUAAAAUAAGCGCUUUUGCGCAUGAUAUCCCUGCUAUGCUUCCCCCAACUAUUAUAGCUUUUGGCUUCCGCAUCCUCUCACUCAUGUCUCUCUCUUCCUCUCAAACACCAGUAUGUGUGACACAAAGGGACGCUUGCGCAAAGAUAUAUUUAUAUACAGGGGAAAACUUCCCAUUCUGAAUUCAUAAAUCAGGAUGAGCCGGCAAUCAUAUGAACAUUUUUUUAAAAUAAAUUUUUUUAAAAAUUUUUAUACUAUUGUUAAUUUGACUCGGAUUUUAAUAAAAUUUAACAUCUCGAACCAAGUCACUACUCUAGAAAUUUUUUUCAAUUUGAACUUAUAUAUUCGAAUUCAAGAACAAGGUUUAAUAAUGUAAUGACCGUGAAAACUAUUACACCAUAUGGUUUAACAAUGUAAUGAUAUUAUACUAUAAAAUCAUUUAAUAGCUUUUUGAAUUUUAAUAAUAUUUAGGAUUCUAAACUAGAUCAGUACUAUAUACACACACAUACACAGGCGAUGCCAGGAAUUAUUUUUAACAGGCUCUAAGUUUAAAUAGUAAUUUAUUUUAAAAAAAUAAUUAACAAAUAACAUAUAUAAAAAGAAAAUUUAUUAAAAUAUUUAAUUCAAUACACUUAUAAUUGUUCUUGCCUUGGUUUUAUAUGUUAAAAACAUUAAAGAAUAAUCUCAUUAUCAAGACUACAAAAUAUGUCUUCUUCUAUGUAUAUAACAAAUCUAUCAUUCAACUAUUGUUCUCCCAUUUGAUUUCACAGAUGAUUUUUUAUAAAAUUUAUAGUUGAAAAUAUCCUUUCUACUGUAUCUCUAGUAACUGGUAAAAUUAAUGCUAAUGUCACCAAUAAAUAAACUAAUGAAUAUAAUUUACUUUUCUUAGUCUCACCGCAUUGUUAUUUUAUUAUUUAUUUGAAAUCUGAUAAUAAAUUAUGAUUAAAUAUGUUCGCAGCAAUUACAAAGUCUUGAUACAAUGUUUCUAUCUCACAUGAUGACGUAACAUCAAUAUCGAUGAUCGCUAAUUAGGGAUUCCAUUAUCCUAUUUUCCCUCUCACAUGAUGAAUAAAUAAACAGUUUUAAAAUCUCGCGUCACCCAAUGUCUAGAAUGUACCCGGAGGCCGCAGCCUCAAAAGUAGUUAAAUUAAAUUCAAACUCUACAAACUCAAUAACAUGAUUACGUCUUAUUCUUUCUUAAUUGAAGUUGAUUUUUCAAGGAGGCAAUUUGUCCCGUCAUAUGCAGCCAAGUUAGAACGAAAAAAAAUGCUUAAUUCAAAUCUCAAGGUCUUGAAGAAAUCUUUCUAGUCAAAAUAAAUUCUCAUGUCAGAUUUUUCAAUCUGGCGAUAUGAAAUUUGCCUAAUAAAUCUCUAUAUUCAGACAUCACGUUUAUGAAACCCUUGCAUUCAGAAUAAAUUCUUCCGGUAUAUCAAAAAAAAAAAAAAAUUCUUGCGGGUAAGGAGGAUCAAAUGCAAGAAUAAAGUUUGAUAAAAAUGAAUAAAAGGAAUAAGGUAAAAGGAUGAAUAAUUUUGGUAAAAUUAAGUACCAAAAAUAAGAUUUAGCAUAUGUUUGUUGUGGUUUAUUUAAUAACUAAAAGUUUUUACAAGUUUUUUUCAAAAUUUUUACUGUUGUUUGGUAGUAUUUUGGAUAGAGAGCUUUUGAGAAUUAAAUAAGUUAUUUUGCAUCUACCAAUAAAAGUGCAAAUUAAAUAAGUUAUUUUGGGAACAAAAGUUGUAGAGCAUUUUUCAAGUGUUAAAUUAUCUAACAUACCUUUUAUUUAUUUUACAUUUUUAUUCCAUUCUUUUCAUAAUAUGAUUUUAAAUAAAUUGGUCAAUUAAAGUAAUUUUAUAAUUUAAAUUUUUUAAUAAAAGUUCAUAUUGACAACCAAAUAAUCAAAAUAUUUUGGUAAAUCUCCACUUGUAACAACUUAAUUUUAUUAAAAGCUCUAUCUGAAUUAACUUAAUUGAAAAGUUGUACCAUAUAGAGCAUAGAGUCAGUGACGAUGCGGAAAUAUAAUAAGUUGAUUGAUAGAAGAAAUUAGGUUUCUAAAUAAUAAAAGUUUUGUUAGAAAAGUUUAAAUGAACAAAACUAGUGUUUUGAGCUCCUAUUAUAAUAAUCCUAAAUAUCACAAAUUUAUCAUAAUAAAAAAAUCUAAAAUAUUAUUUUAUAAUAAAAUCUCAUAAUCUAAAUAAAGAAACCAAAAUAAGCAGCACCCAAAGCCAAUAUCUAAAAAAAAAGAUAAAAUCAUAAAAUCAAUAGAAAAAAAGAAAAAUAACCUAAUGCUGAAAAAUGAUCAGGAAAUAAGUAAAACUUUUAGAUCGACCACGAGGCAGAACUAUGCAAGCUAUUAUGUUUGGUUUGUCUCGUUGCAGGCUUCGAAACGGUAUAUUAUAUACCUAAAAUGGAUCCCUGUAAUCUUAGUUAUGACCUCUAGAAAAUAAUCUGCUCAUCUUACGCAACGAUCCUACAUUAGCUAGCCCAGCUUGGGAUUGUGAUGACUAUUGAAAAUGUGAUUAAAAAGUUAAAAUGAUGGGUGGCUGAGCCACCGUCUUUGAAUUCAAAGACGGUGGAUGGCUGAGCCAACCACCAUUAUUGAACAAGGAAAAUGGGUGGGUGCUACCCAUGCAAAUAAGAAAAGGACCGUGGUUUUUCUCCGUAUUUGGAGUUUUCCACGUAAAUCUUGUGUUGUGUGAUUGGUGUAUUCUCCAUUUAAUUUUUCUGUUAAUUUGUUGCUUGACAAAUUGCUUGAAGUGAUCUUGAGAGAAAACUCAAUUUCCUAACAAUGGUAUUAGAGCCAACGGUUCGUACUUUGGGUUAUACGGUAUUGUUCACGUAUACAGUACUGUUUACGUGAAGCAGUGAGGCCAAUCCAAAUAGUUUGUGGUGAAGAUCAAAGACUGAUCUAUAAAGCAAAUAUGUCAGCAGCUGGUGUUUUUCAAACUUGGUGGAGUUUGAUUUUUUAUUGGCUUGUGGAAAAUUCAAGUCAAAUGUGUAUCCAAUCUAGUAUGCACAAGAAUUUGAAGGUGUGGCAAUUUGGCACCUCAAGGAAAUUGUUAAGAAGGUGGAGUGGGCUCGGCAAAUUGCUCCAGAAUUGAUAAAGGAGAUAUUGAUAUUCUUGCAAAUGGUGAGUUUCUUUUUAUAAGAGACUGGGUUAGAUCUUUUGGCAUGUAGAUCUCCAAGUUGCCAUAAAGGAGAACAUGUUAUUAUCAGCGGAGUCCACAAGUUUGCACGAAGGCAUUGGCUUGGUAUAAAUGCAAGGUGUGUGUGAUGGAAAAGUUAUAUCAUGGCUGAAGAAUUCUCAGUGAAACCAAGCAUGAGAAUUGCACUAUAAAUUUCAGUAGGAUAUUUUGACAUGUACCAAGAAAAACCUUAGAACGGUUGAUUCUAAGUGGUAUACUCUUUAUGGUGGAGUAUGAUAAUUCUCUAUGUUGAGAAUUAUGACUGUUGGUGAAGACGGUGUUUUGUAGCGAUAGCUACAAAUUUUUUUUUUUAAUCAUGGUGGAGAUUAUUGAAAAUGUGAUUUAAAAAAAAUGUGUCAAAAUGAUGGGUGGCUGAGCCAACCACCAUCAUUGAACAAGGAAAAUGGGUGGGUGCCGCCCAUGCAAAGAAGAAAAAAAGGAAGAAAAGGAAGCCAAAAUUUGGUUAUAAAUAGAAGGGUUCUCCCCCUCAUUUAGGUAUCCAAGUUUUGGUGAGAAAUUGAGAAAGAAACAUAUUUUUAAGCACGUAGUUAUAUUGAAGGAGGAUUUGGUUCCUCAAUAUGGGUAUUACGAGUUUAAUUUGUUAGGGAUAUUUAUAGGAAAUUAGGAAUCAUGUUUUUGGGACUUAGGUGAGAGAAAAGUAUUUAUGAGAAAGUGGUUGUAAAAAUUUUCCACAUAGUGAAUAUUUUUUCUCUAGUUGUCUUUUGACAACAACCGUGGUUUUUCUCCGUAUUUAGAGUUUUCCACGUAAAUCUUGUGUUGUGUGAUUGGUGUAUUCUCCAUUUAAUUUUUAUGUUAAUUUGUUGCUUGACAAAUUGCUUGAAGUGAUCUUGGGAGGAAGCUCAAUUUCCUAAUAAUGACUUGUGAAAUAAACCGCUUCUAUAAUGCGAAUGAAUAAUCUACUUAUUAAAAUAGUAGCUUCGUAUUUGGUAAAGUGUGUUGUUAUGGUUGCUUUGAGUUUGAAAAAAAUAGUACAUGUGUUUGAUAGAUUUUAGUGCGAAUGUGAUGUUUUGUUAUAUAUUGACCGAAAUAAUUAUAAUUUAAAUUUUUUAUUUAUAUAUUAGGAUGCAUGAAAAAUAAGAUUUAAUUGUCUCUUUGUUAAAACAUUAAGGUUAUAAUAGGAACUUAAAAAAGGUGUGGUGUCUUAUUUGAUACCUAUUUAUAAAUAGCAACUGUACAUACUUUGAAAAGUUAUUGUCAAAAAAAAAAAACUUAUGAAAUAGUGGUUUUUAAAAAAUUUAUCUAACACUAUUUAUUAAUAUAAGAGAGCUCUAUAUAUAUUAAAUUCUUUUAGGUAAAUUAAAUUUUGCCCCUUUGAUUUUGAGGUCUGGCUACAUCACCGAUUGAAGCUUGUGAUUUUUUUAUUUACUAGUGCAUGAAAUCUUUAAUUUUGUUAAUAUAUUAGUGGCAUCAAUGAAUUAUUCUCUCUUUCUCUCUAUAUAUAUAUGAGAAAGGUGAUCAGGUCUGCGACUAUAUAUCAAACUCCUAGAUUUUUUUAAUCUUAAUCUUCAAUGAAUUAUUACUAUAAGAGAACUGAUCAAGUGCGUGGCUAUAUAUCAAACUCCGAAAUUUUUGGUGUUGUACGCAGUUAUGAUUAGAGAUGGCAAAAGUCCGGGUCGGGUCCGGGUUUGGGGCUGCCCGGGACCGACCCGGAUGUCAAACGUAGCUACCCGGACCCGCACCGUGCCCGGAAUUUUUCUAUGCGGGCCGGGCACAUGCCCGGCACUAUCCGGGCACGGAUUUUUUUCUGGGUUUUCUCUACCCGGAUUUGAGUGAUGAUGACAGAAUCAGAAAAAUUGUUUCAACUGACCCCAAUGCCCCUUUCAAUCAAUCCCAGGUCCCUUCACUCUCUAACCUCCCCUUUUUAUUGUUAUCAUCACACUAGCUACCUCCCUGUUACCUAUGUAAAAGUAGAUUCCGUUAACUAAUUUAUAUUUGUUAUAUGUUUUUUAUUUGUUAUAUUUUUUUUUUUCAAUUAUGGUAUAUAGAUAUCAGACCUGCGAAGCAGCAUGCAAAAGAACUGGCCAACACUGGCUUGCCCAAGCGGGAAUGGCAUAACAUUUUAGAAUGCUUACAUCACUCACCUCCACAUAACAAAUGUCGAACAUUAUUCAUUAAAAAAAUAAAUUCAACGAAUACCACCUGAAGAGCGCGAUCAAGAGCAUCGGAGCCAACGGGAUGAGGGCCCAGUUCAGUCAACGCUUUGACGUGCUUGAUAGCCUCAAACUCGGAGAAUCCUCUUUUGCCGGCCUGGUCAGCGGUGAGAGGAGGAGGCAUAUGCUCGUACUGAUAGUAGUAAACGCCGUAAGUGGCGUAGACGAAGGCCCCAAACGCAACCGUCCAUGCGAGCCCCGAUCGCUUGGCGCUUCUCACGUCAACUGUCAAUACUGCAUCGCCAUCGGUGAAGGAUGGAUGGUGGCUGUUGGUGGAGAGACGGAGGGAGGAGGUGCCGAUUCUGAGACUUGUUGCGAAUUCGCGAUUUAGGGUUGGUCGGUUGGGUUUGGGGGAAAUUGGGCAAAGGAAAAUGUAAUUUUUGUUUUUAUAUUUUCCUUUCUUUUUUUACUUAAUAAAAAAGCGGGCACGGGUCCGAGUUCCGGGUUCUUGGUGUUGUGACCGGACCCGUGCCCGGAAACAGCCGGGUAUUGAAAAUCAAUGCCCGGAACCGCUUUUUUUAUGCAUCCGGUCCGGGUUUUACCCGGACCGGAUGUGCCGGGUCCGGUCCGGGUCCGGUCCGGGCGGGCUUUUCUGUCAUCUCUAGUUAUGAUCUUAAUCUUUGGCUAAGGGUAUGAUUGGGAUUGCAUUAGCUUGGUAAAUAAUCCAUCCUCAUAUAAAUUCUCCAAUAAUUAACUUUGCAAAUAAUUUGAUGAGAUGUUUGGUAAAAUUGGAUUAUAAGGAAAUCAAUUAUUAAAUAAUUUACUUAACAUGUUUGUCGUAUUAAUCAAAAUAUUGUGUUGUGUGCAAAUUACCAAGAUGGACAAGUUUUCUUAUAUAGUAAUAUAUAAUGAUAAUUAUUACGAUUUAUUUAUAUUAAUAUAUCAAAUAUUAGUGGUGGUGACGCUAUUUGUUUGCCGUUUCAUGGCUGUAAUUAUUUUAGAGGUGUGCGGGAGCAACCGCCAUUUCUCUGUUAUUGACAUCAUACGUUUUGGAGUUUGAUAGCAGAGGUAUUGUCGCAUAAUGAAGACUUUACCUAGAUGCAGACGACGGCGCCGAAGACAUCGCCGGACGCCAGCAAUAAUCUAGUUGUUUCCUUUUCUUUUUUUUGUCUUGUUUAAAUGUAAACAUAAAUAUGUUAUUAGUGUAAGGGUGUAUUCGAAAUUGUAUUGUUAAAAUGAGGAAAAUUUUGGUAUUAUGCUUUACAAAAUCAAAUUCUAUAAAAACCCGAAUUUCCAAAUCUACUUUCUCAUGUUUUUAAUGAUAAAUUAUUUAAAAAUUCUCUUUCUUAAUUGAAAUUAACUUUUCAAGGAGGCAAUAUGGACUUUGCGUCGUAGGUAAGUUAAAGGCCCUUAAUCCCACGAUGUUCAUGAUGAAACCUUUCUAUUCAAAAUAAAUUCUUCAGUUCGAUUUUUGAGGCCGGCGAGAUGGAAUAUUUGCUAAUACAUAAGUUUGGGAAACUCUGGAUUCAAAUCAUUCGGCUAAAUUUUUAAGAUCCAAUUAAGUGUUUUUUAUUAUAACAUAUGUGUGAUUAACAUUUAUUUUUGUAAUUUAAAGCCAACUAAACGAUGCGCUGUAAUUUCCACAAUUGCUACAAAUUUGGGAGUGUCCCAGCCUUCACCUUCCUUGAGAAGCCAUCUUCUUCUUCAAACCUUACUUAUCGUAGGAUACUUCCAGAGAUAUUUACUCCUCAAAUUGCAAUUGAAUUGAUUAUGGUGUUCAUCAUUCUCAAUGGACACAUAAUGGUUUUUUAACGGUUUCGUCGCGUAUUGAAUUUUACAAAGCUGGGAUUUGUAAUUAAAAUUGAACUUUAGAAAGUUGCAAAAGUGUAAUUGAAAUGUACAAGUCAAUUCUAACCACUCAUCUUUCUAAAUACCAUAUGUCGUUAGAUACUUAAUACACCUUGUGUGCUGGAAUGGAGUAGAUUUUUAGCAGAUACGAUUAGUUAAAUAAAAUUGGAUUGAAUCAUAUUUAGUAUUGUCUUUUGUUUGGCAUUUUAGAUUAUGGUAAUUUUAUAUAUUGUAUGAGAAUUGCGAUGCGAAUAUUUCCGCUGCAAAAUAUUUUAAAACCAAUAAUUGGUAUAAGAGCGAUCUCAUAUUAAUAUAUAGAGUUACUGUAUGAAAUCAAACUCUUGUAUUAUGUGUAUAAAAUUGGUGGCACUAAUUUUUAUAUAUUAUUUCAUUACGUGAAUGUAUAUAAUUAUUGAGCAUAUUAAAUGUUGUCUCAAUUCAUGGUUAGUUAUUUUUUUGUAUUAAUUUUAUGGAUUUGUAACAAGAGAGGUGCUCAAUUUUCACCAUGUUUCUCUCUUGAUUAUUUUAAUUCAUUGUUCUUAGAUUCUUUGUAAGCCAUCUAUGGCAUAGGAGUUCUUGUUUAUAUUAAUUUUUAUUAUAUAAUAAUGUAAAGAACCCAAAAAAACAAAGAAAAGUUGAUGGCGGCAAGGAGAAGAAGAAACGACAGCCUCUCUAGAAUUGGCAGCGAACAGCAUGAAGGGACGGAGGGGUUUCUUUUGAAUUUUUUCAUUAGACACCCUAUUGUCUCACUAAUUUAUGUUUUCUGACAAGACUUGAAAUUUUAUUUCAUUUAAGUCCAACACUAUACGUUGGUGGCGGCUGGAAGAAAAAUAAGUGAUUUAGGGCUUUGGGUUUAUACCCCAUGGCACCGUACAAUUUCACUAUUUUACAGUUCAGCCUAAGUAUUUUGGGUUUUGGGCAGAAAAAAUCAAAUUUAUUUAUAUUGGAUCCAAGCCCAUUAUUGACUAUGAAUUGGAAAAUAUAAAUAUAAAUUUGAUAAGCCCAAUUGUUAUUACUUGUCCAGAUUUUUUUAUAUUGGUCCCAAGCCCAUUUAAGGGAUUUCAAAAUUGAGUUAUAUAAAUAAAAAUUUAGUAGAUCAAAAAUAAAAUUUAUUUGGCUCAAAAAAUUUUAAAGAUAAAUUUGGGUUUAUUUUAUUAAACUAAUUGGGUCUGGAUUUUUUAAAAAAAACAGGUAUUUAAAAAAAAUAAGAGCCAAUAGAAAUUUUUUUUUUUGAAAGGUGCCCAAAUUUAAAUUUAAAAAUUGAACCAGGGAUAAAUUUUAAAAGCCUAAAAGCCCUCAAGGCAAUAGUUAUGUACAAGAGCAAGUACAAGGAAGAGAAAAAAGGAAGAUUGAUGUUGCGUUAAAGCCCAAUAGAUAUUAGGCUUGUAGAUUAAGUCUAUUUUUUUCCUUAGGAAAACCAUGAAUAGAGAUUGUUUAAUUGCUUUUAAUUUAUAUGCUAUGUUUGGUUGAUAACAUGCUAUGAUAACAUGUCAUAUAGAAUAUGAAGUGCCACUCUAUGCAUCAUAAUACAUGACAUCUAUAGAUUAUGAAUCUAAAAAUAUAUUGUUUGACAUUUGCAUGUGCUUAAUAAUAUUAGAUUUCAUCUAGAUAAUAUUAUUAUAGGAAGCAUGCAAUUAAAAUACAUGAUAUAAUUUGUAUAUUGGAAAAACUAACUUUAAAAUAUUGAGUAGGAGAGGGAAAAUUCAAGAUAAUUUUUCCCACGGACUCCAUUAGUAGUUCAAUAAUAAAAUUAUAUAUAUACCUCGACUUCAUGAUACGGUGAUGAUCUCUACGAAGGGUAUAUAUAUUAGACAUUUUAUUUGAUGAACUUCUUUACAAAUAAGGUCAAAAUAUUUUUCAAUCUGUUGAUCACCCAAACUGUGGCGGCAUGGUAUGGAAGAUACGUAGAUUGAAACAAUGAUUAUACACUCCACUAAAAUUUGUUAUUAACCUUCCCAAUGAAGCUCUGUUAACAAAUUUAGGCCCAAAAGGAUAACGAUAAUUAUUUAUCAUGUCUCUACAUGAAAGUAAAUAAUCCAAUGGAUAAUUGGGUCUAGUAAGUGUAGACAUGAUUUCCCCAAUGGAUAGCUUGCCAAAGUAGUACUAGAUUAUCGUUACAAUAAAAUAAAAUGCAUUUAUGAUUUUUUUUUGCAUUUUAGAUUAUUUAUUGUGAACAUUAUUUGUUUCAAAGUAUUUAUGCAUGUCUAUUUUGUUUUUUCAGAAAAUGUCUUCCAUAAACUCAUUAUUCAUUAUCCUUGUUAAAAAUGAACUCACUGACGAAAUGUACUUAGAUUGGAAACACAAUCUAUUUAAUAUUCUCACUGUUAAGGGCUGCAAAUAUGUGUUGACUCAGUCAUUCCCUCUAGAACCAACGUUAUACGAUUAUAGAAAUCAGAGGGAGCCUUAUGAGAAAUUGUGCAAAGCUAACCAAAUGGCUAUGCGCUAUAUAUUGGCUUCGAUUUAUGUGGAACUGCGUAACAAACAUCAGAGCAUGGAAACAACCACUGGAAUAAUUGCUAGUCUUCAUCAGAUGUUUGGACAGAAUAUUCAUUUUGCCAGAGAAGCAGCAUUAAAACGUAUUAUGGAUACUAAGAUGGAAGAGGGCAUAAGAGUUCGUGAUCAUGUCCUCAAAAUGAUGGACUAUUUGAAUGAAGUAGAGAUUCAUGAUGUUCAAAUCGAUGCUAAAACAAAGAUUAACAUAGUGAUUGAAUCUUUGCCUGAUACAUUCAAAGAGUUUAAGAUCAGUUAUAUCUUAAACAAUAAAGAUAUGACCUUAGUUAAUUAAUGCACGAACUACAUGCUAUAGAAGAAUUUUAUCAUAGUAGGAAACUUCCUGAAAAAGGAUUCUCUUGAAGGUCUAAGUCGAAAGACAAGAAUAAUCAAGACAGAGUUGGGAUGAGAAAAUUGUCCACUAAAAGAGAUGGCAGGCCAAAAUGCAAGUGUUAUAAAUGUGGACAGAAGGGUCACUGGAAGAAAGAUUGUCAUAAGAUUAUUAAAAUCAAGUAUAUGAAAUCUUUAAUUUUUCUAAUUAGUUCAGAUUUCUAUUGAUUCAUACAAUAGUGAAUUCUGAGAUAACAAAUCUUAUUUAUAAUUCAUUUAUUUGUUUUUCAGGAAACUAAGAGAUUAAGUGAACAAAGCUUCAAAGAGCAGUUGAGGACAUGCUAGUUUAUAUCAGUUGAAAAGAUAGAUCAAUUUUACGAGACUUUAGUUUUGAUAUUUGUCUUUAUUAUUCUAAAUAUUAGAGGAAUUUAAUUUCGGUAGCUUGUUUUAAUAAAUAUGAGUACACUGUUAUUUUUUUAUCCUCUGUUUAUUACUUAUUUUGGUUAUUUAUAAUGACAAUUUAUAUCAUAUAAGUUCAUUGAUCUAUUCAAAGUAAGAUAUAAUGAUAAAGAGUAUAUGCAUUUAUCUAAGAAAAGAAAUGUUUCUUUUAACCAAUAUCACCUCUGAUAUUUAUGCUUAAAUCAUAUAAACUAUAAUAAGAUUUUAAAAAAAUGAUUAAUGAUAGGCUUGUUGGCCUAUUAAGAUUAAUCAUUGUCACUCUAUAAAUCUUAUUUAGAAAAGUAAUAUGACAAGGAUGCUCUUUUUGAGCCAAAAGCAUAAUAUUAUAUUGGAUGACUUAGCGCAUACAAAUGUAUACGGAUUAAUCAGUUUACAUGUUAUAAGAGGUUAUGAGUAUUCUAUGAAUUUUAUUGGUGAAUAUUCAUUUCAUUUAUGUUUGUCUAAAUGCAUUAUGAUUCCAUCGCUUUAGAAAUUCAAAGAGUAUAGGGCUGAGACAGAAAGCAAUUAGAUAAGAACAUAAAGAAACUACGAUCUGAUCGAAGUGGUGAAUUUCUCUCAGGAGAUUUCAGAGAGUAUCUAGUUGAAAAUAGGAUUAUAUCUCAGUUGACUGCCCUGGGAACACCACAACAAAAUGGGGUAGCUAAAAGGAGAAAUAAAACUCUUUUGGAUAUGAUGAGAUAUAUGCUUAGUUAUUCGCCAUUACCAAUCUCUUUUUAGGGAUUAGCUUUGGAAACUGCAGUUUACCUCUUAAACUUAGUUCCAUCUAAGUCAGUGUCUAAAACCCCAAUAAAAUUAUGGUCAGGUCGCAAACCAAGUUUACGACAUGUUUGUAUUUGGAGAUCACCAGCACAUGUGCUGAAACCAAAGACAGAUAAAAUAGAUUCACGUUAUGAGGUUUAUAUGUUUGUGGGGUAUCCUAAAAGAAAGAUGGGAGGUUUAUUUUAUAGUUCUCAAGAUAGGAAAGUGAUCAUGAGCACAUAUUUCACUUCCCACGAGGAAGACUAUAUGGAUAACUUCAAAUCUAAAAGUAAGGUAAUACUUGAAGAACUGUCAGGUGAUCAAGUUGAUGCUCAGAUUUCAACACUUGUUAUAGAAGAUGAUGAACAACAAUAACUAACUGAUCAACACAUGAUUAUCCCUGAACAAUCAUCAAUUUUAGAAUCUCGUCAUAGUAGGAGGGUAACUAGGUUACCUACUAGAUACAUGUUAUUAGGAGAAACAUAUACGGCUAUCUCAGAUAAACAUGUACAAAAUCCCACUAGCUACAACAAAGCUCUAAUAAACAGAGAUGUUGAACUUUAAAAAAAGACCAUGAAUCAAGAAAUGAAAUCUAUGUAUUCCAAUAAAGUCUAGGAACUUGUAGAGGCACCAAAUGAGGUAAAACAUAUAGGGUGUAAGUGGAUAUACAAGAGAAAAAGAUGAGUAAACGGAAGGGUGAAAAUAUUUAAAGUAAGAUUAGUAGUCACAGGGUUUACUCAGAAAGAGGGAAUCGAUUAUGAGAAAACAUUUUCUCUGGUUGUUAUGCUUAAAUCUAUUAGGAUUUUGCUCUCCAUUAUUGCAGUGCUAGAUUAUAAAAUUUGGCAAAUUGAUGUCAAGGAUGCUUUUCUUAACGGGCAUCUUGAAGAAGACAUCUACAUGUAGCAACCAGAUAGAUUCAUACAAAAAGGCCAAUAACACAUGGUAUGUAAGUUGCAGAGAUCCAUUUAUGGAUUGAAGCAAGCAUCCCGGUCAUGGAACAUCAGAUUUGAUCAAGCGAUUAAAUCGUUUGGAUUCAUUCAGAAUAUUGAUGAACCAUAUGUGUACAAGAAAAUUCAGGGAAAAUUUGUAGCCUUCCUAGUUCUUUAUGUAGAUGAUAUUCUCCUUAUUGGAAACGAUAUAGGAGUAUUGACUACAAUAAAGAGUUGGUUAACAAAAUAAUUUGAUAUGAAAAACCUGGGAGAGGCAAGUUAUAUUUUUGGUAUCAAAUUACUACGAGAUUGGAAGAAUAAAACUUUAACCUUGUAUCAUUUGCUUGUAUACUUAGUGGUUUCAAUACAAUAAAUAUUCAAAUUUGACAUAUUGAGAGGAAUACAAUAAAUAUUCCAAAUAUGUUUUUGACAAGUUAUUCCAAAAACAAUAAAUAUUCCAAAAGGAUCUGCCAAAAACAUAUUUGGAACCACAAGAAACAAAAACAUAUUGAGAGGAAGUAUCAUCUUAUAAGGGAUAUAGUGCAAAGAGGUGAUGUGGAAGUUACUCAGAUUGCGUCACAAGAAAACUUGGCAGAUCCUUUUACUAAGGCCAUACCUGGGAAACUUUUUAACUUGCACUAAUAAUCCAUUGGCAUGCGUGAGAUGUCAAAUAUGGUUUGAGAGCUAGUGGGAGAUUGUUGGGAAAAUAUGCUCUUUAAAAACAUAUGUGUUUAUUUAAUUGUAAUAAAUAAUUUUUCUGAUUAAUAUAAUAAAUGAGGUAUUUUAUUCAAGUAUCUUAGUUACAUUAAUAUUUUGAGUAAAGUCCAUUUAAUCAUAUUAUAUGUGUUUACGUGAUCACCAUAUGGAUUUACAGAAGACAUAAAUACAAGUUAUCUUAUGAUUAAAUAAAUUAAGUUUGCAGUUGAUAAAUAAAGUUAGGCACUUUAUUUAGGUAUAGACUGUAAUAAAUUCAUUUAAUGAUUCAUCUUAAUCAUGUAUGAAUUUAUUGAUGUAGUAAGAGUAUAUUGAAUUGGAUCACAUAUGAGAUUUAAUUAACUUUGUAAUAACUGUCAGACUUAUUAAAUCUCAUAAGCAUUGAUUUUACUAUAAUCUUAAUCUUUAGUUAGUUAUAAUUUCAUGAUUGUAAUUAUCAUUCCAUUUGAGUUACCAAUUGACAUGACACACACUUGUAGUCAAGAUUACUCAGUAUCUUGAUAGGAGCAAUUAUAAAUAUUGAAGUUAUAGAUUAACAAUAUAGAAUUUGUACAACACAUCUCUUGAUGAGUUUUCAACACUUGAUCAUAAAAUUCUCUGGCCAGAUUAUGUCAACAUAUUUAGUAUGUUGAACAUGAUCAUUAGAGAAAAUUAGUAAGUAUCAAGGAAUAAAAUGUAAUUAAAUUAAUUAGACAGUUGAGAUAUCGAUUUAAUUAAUAAUGUGGUACAAAAGAUUAUGCAGUAAAGAAAUCAAUGUGGCAUGGGUCGAAUUAUUAUUCGAGAACACUAUCCUAGAUAACAUACAAUUAUGGAGGUCAGUUCGAAUGUUUUAGUGGAGUAGAUUUGGAAUUAAGUAAUUGGGCUAGUUUAAUGACAGACCUAAUUAUUGUAGCCACUAUUGUAUGUACUCAUAUAAUCCCCGAAUUAGCUCAUUUAAUUGACUGAGCCGCAACUGAAUUAAUAAGCAAGAUACAAACUAACUAUUUUGGUUAAAAGCCUAAAUAUAUUAUUUAGUGGGAGGCUCCAUUUAAUAUGCUUGUGUGUAAGGAGUCAUAUGUUAUUUUACAAGAUGGGCCCCUAUAACAAGAGCAAGUAACGCCACUUUUAGUUUUAUUUUUUAAAUUUAAAUCAAAUUUGAUUUAAGAGAAUUAAAAAUAUAUAUAAAUAUGGAGCCUAGGGCUUCCACUAAAUAGAGAUAUAAAGGGACUUGUUUUCACUAAAAGGGGAGAGGAGCCACAAUAUACAGAUCAGAGAAAAAGAGUUUUUCUCUCUAAUUUUGAGAGAAAUAUUUUCUCUUGCUAGUUGCUUUUAGUGGUGAUAAAGGCGUCCACACGUUAAGUGCAUAUCAAACUUGAGUCAUAACCUGGAAGAUCAUUGGUGACGGAUCGUGAUAUAAAAAGAUUGGUGGUGACAGUUCGUGAUCUAAUGGGAGUGGUGGUAACGGAUUGUGAUCUGGGAGCGUAGAUUACUUCAGCAAAAAAGUAAAGGUACGAUUUCUAAAUUAUGGUAAUUUUAUAUAUUGUAUGAGAAUUGCGAUCUAAAUAUUUCCGCUGCAAAAUAUUUUUAAACCAACAAUUAGCAACUUAAUACACUUGGUACGCUGGAAUGGAUUGUAAAUAUAAUAUUAUCAUAAAAUGUAUUUAAAUUUAAUUGUAUCAUUUUCAAGAGAAAGUAUCAUUUUUUUUUAUGCAACUAAGUUAUCUAGAGACAAACCUUCUCUUGUGUUCUCACAACUUUGGGGAAGCUUCAAAGGACACAGCUUGGAUUGUCCAUUAUGCUAAUAUACCUGCCUAUAAAUUGGAGGGUUGACCUCAACUGUGAGUAAAAGAACUGCGAUACUCGUGUUCCUUCCUGUAAUAACGAAAGCGUCUUAAUUAAUUCAGUGUUUCUACUUCAACAAAAUAAAAAUAAACUCUUGAUUGAAAUACAACCAACUUUCAUAAUUUUCAAUUCUAAUUUUCUUAUAAAAAUGACGCCAUGAUUGGAUGGCAUUGUCCUUGUGUUGUGUCAUUGAUUUAUCCAUCUUUGUUUUUCCCAAAAACAAUUUCCAUGAAAGAGGAUGUUUUGCUGCUCGUUAGUAAACGCUAUUUAAGCACAAGAAAUGAUUGAGAUUUAUGCAAAGUAUGUGGCAGAAUUUAUGUAAGAUGACUGAUGAUUCAUAAGGAAAGCUAAACAUGGGAGUUGGUAACUUUUAGCAUGGUGAUCAACAUGUGUUGUAGAAAAUUUUUAGAAUUUUACUAUAAGUGGUACACAUAAAAGUCAGUAAGUCUAACUUGUACUCAAAUAUUAGCUCAUAUCUUAAUAGUCGCCUUAAGCUUAUGUUAUUAAUCAACUAACUAAUCUCAGCCCAUCUGAAAAAUCUUUUCUAUCACCUCCAGUACUUGUAGGUCAAUUUUUUGUCUGGUCUUUGUCAAUAAUUCAAGUGAUGGGUUUUUCUUUGCCAAUAACGCGCAAUAGUUCCUUGUCAUGAGCUUCUAGGGGUGUUCGCGGAUCGGAUUUUACAGAUUGAACAUCAAUCCAUAUCCGAUCUAUAAUUUUAUGGAUUAUAAUUUUUCAAUCCAAUCCAAUCCACAGAUUGAUAAAAUUCAAUCCAAAUCCAAUCCAUACAUCUACGGAUCGGAUGCGGAUUUGACUCAAUCCAUAUCCAAUCCAUACGUUUGCGGAUCGGAUGCGGAUUUGACUCAAUCCAUAUGCAAUCCACCAUUUUGCGCAUUAGUUUUCGAAUUAAAAAUUUUUUAGUUCUCUCCAACUAAUGAAAUUAAAAAAUCUAAUAUAAAAAUAAUUUUGCUACAAAUUAAAUUUAAAAUUGAAUAAAAUUUAAAUAAAUUAAUUGUUUAAAUAAAGCUAAAAUAAUACAUUUAAAGUUUCAAAAUAUAACACAUCGAGACUAAUUAUUCAAAUAAAGCUACAAUAAUAAGUUCAAAGUUUCAAAAUAUAACACACCAAGCUUAAUUGUUCAAAUAAAGUUACAAUAAUACGUUAAUAUAACACCGAAAUUAAUUGUUCAAAUAAAGCCACAAUUAAUUGAAAUGGAGAAGUUUCGGAAACCAAACACAGUUUGAUCCUUCACCAGGGCUGUUGCGCCUGUCGAAAAGUGGUGAUUACGGAGCCAUCCACGAUGGGAACCAGGAGAAGCCGUACGGGUGGCGAUCUUGAAGGUUGUGAUAGUGAAAUUGUUCAGCUGGAACCAGUGAAUGUGAAGUGGCUCGAUGGACUUUGGAAAGAAGAUGGCUUGCUCUCGCCGGAAUCGCGCGGCUGAUGUCCUUUAAAUCCGUAUUGAGAGUGUAUCCAAUCAGUAUUGAGUGUUGCUAGUGUGUGUGACGGCGGGGAAGCUUAGGGUUUUUUGUUUGCAAAUUGUUGGUGACUUGGCGUUAUGUUACUUUGCUUUUGCUAGUGCGUGUCACUUUGCUUUUAUUUUGUUUUACAAUUUUUACAAGUUAUAUUUGUAUAUUUGAUUAUUUAAUUAUUUUUUAUUUUAUAUUAUUAUUGGGUAAUGGCUAAGAUAUGUUAUAGUGCUUAGUAACUAUGCAAUGUCACAUUUAUAAUUUUUUAAAUUAAAUUUAUAAUAAUUUUUUAAUUAUAUAUAUAUAUAAUUUUUUUUUUUUGCGGAUUCACGGAUUUCUGCGGAUUUACAGAAGUAAAUCCAUAUCCAAUCCAUCGACUGCGGAUUUUUAAAUUUUCAAUCCAUAUCCAAUCCAUGGAUCGGAUUUAUAUAGAUCGGAUUCAACGGAUCGGACGGAUUGAGCGGAUCGGAUUGGAUUCUGAACACCCCUAUGAGCUUCUUAUCUUCUGUCUUGAAGGAAGAAAUUGCAAAAGACAAAUGAAACAAUUUCCUUUACACAUUAAUCAGUGCUGCAGCCUUUAUAUCUUUAUUAUUCUCGGAGGUAUGAUAAUGUUGAGAGCCGAAACAAUUACUAGUACUCACUCCUCUUAUGGCCAUGUCUAACUCUCUACAAUAAUUUCGAUAUUCCUGUUCUUCAGUUCUUCCACUAACCAACAAGUACGACGGUAUAUGCGGUGGCUUCAUUGCUAGAGCCUCUGUGGGCAUAUUUUAACAACGUGAAGGCAGAGCUAAUUAGAAUUCACACAAUUUUCCUAAAAGUCUACAGCUUCCAGGAAAUUCACCACCUCUGUAGAAUUGUAAUAAUAAGACUUGUGGUUUCCGUAAAAGAAUUUAUAAGAGUUAAUAUAAAAGAAUUCGAAAAUGAAUUUUAUAUGGACUAGAAAUACUCUUGAUUAAUUGGUUAUUCAAAUGGUUUAGAAAUCCCCUUAAUAUUAGGAAGUCAUUUAAAAUUCUGAUUAUUGUUGUUCUAAAUAUAUUACUUUGCACUAACUUCCAAUUCCACAAUUACUCUGACAGUCCCGUUUUCACGGAUUUAUUUAUGUAUCUGAAUCUUUUUAUUCAUGAAAGAAUAAUCUCUUGCAAACUCAACUUCAAUUAUGAAUCAACUAGCUAGCAACCAUUUCUUUAUUUUUAAUUGCUUUGGAAAUUAAGGAUUCGUCCAGCCGCCAGAUUCCGCAGUGAUUCUAUUGCAUUGGAUGUCUUCAAUUUUCUUUUGCAUUAGAUUCUUUGUUGAACUAUUUAUGCACAAGUGAAGGAGGAAUUAUAGAAUACAUAUGAGAUAAUACAAUCAACUAAUGCAUAUACAACGUGUGUAAUUGAAUUUAGUGUAACCAUCACCUACGUAGAUAUUUUUCAAAAUAAAUGCACACAAGUUAUAGUAUCAUUUGCUUGUUAUAUGACUUACAGUGUAUUCUAGAAUUUUUCCCAAGUGGAGACCAUGAGUGGUAACAUCCAUCUGACAUAAGAGUAUUACAAAGAGAUAAUCACUUGUCAAAUUUGAAUAUUUAUUGUAUUGAAACCACUAAGUAUAUAAGUUUGGACAACCCUAAAUUCAUGAUGAGAAGUUAAAGACAGUAGUACUCUAAAAGAAAAUGGAACGAAAUGAUCCAUUCAUACCUAUUAUUUGACUUUUAGAUUUGCCCUUCUAAAUUUUAACAAAAUGCACACAUGUUCUCUUGACAAAUUUUUAUUUAUUCAUGUGAACGAAGUAUAACAAAAUUAUUGACCAAUCAGAACCAAGAUGGAAAUGAUCAUCAACAAAAGUAAUCUGCAAGGACGAAUAGAAGCAGAUAGAUUAUUCCAAAAAGAAACUAAGUGGAAGUGGAAUUACUGUAGUACUGAUUAUUCGAUGGCGGGAACGUCGUCGAAGAAGGGUAAACUUCUCUGUUUCAGGAUUUCACAAUCCUCAGGACUUGCUGUGUUUGGAUCAAAAAGCUCACGAUCAGGCAGAGGUAAGCCAAGUUUUAUUUGACCCACUCGCCGCGAAUUCAGGACUUGCUUGGUCGUGACAGGUAGCCUAACAGAUUGAUAUUCUUCCAGAGCUGAAUGUAAAUUUUCUUCCCCCAACUUCUCAAGGCAUUUACCUAACACUGCUGCAUCAGCUAUGGCCAUGUUUGUGCUUCUUGCACAGUGAGGGGUUAUGGGAUGAGCCGCAUCUCCAAUAAAGACCACGUUGUCGCAGUAUACUUGUGUCAAAUGGUCGCAAUCAUAAAUAAGGUUCAGGAAAGGCUCCUUUGUUUCUUUUAUGACUCUUGCAAGCUCAGGAACGCAAAUCUCCUCUACUUCUUGGUGCAUCUUCUUGAUCAUGUCACUGCUCACUUUCAUUGUAGCUGAACCUCCCUGAAAUUACUUAAUUAAUUAAUUGAAGCUAGCUCUGCUAACACGUAUGCAUAUAAAUGGUAAAAUGAAGCAAGUUAGGCAAUCACCUUGAGUUCAGGCUCAGGUUGAGUGAUAUACCAAAUCCAAUUGAGCCUCUUGUACAUAAGCUCAUAAAGGACGGUGUGAGUUCCAGGGCCCAAGCCCGCGUGCACGCCAUUCCCAAGCUCAGGAUAUGCCCUUCCGGAUGCCUUGUAUGGUUUCAGAAUUCUCAUUUUCCGAAAAAUCAAAAACACCCCUCCAAGCACAGUAACCUGUAUACCUGAAAAACAGAAAUGAAAAAUAAACCGUAAAUUUCAAGACAACCGAAAAUAUGAAAAUAUAAUAUAAUUUGGUCAGAAACCUGAGUUUAGAGUCUGGUAAAAAAGUCUGGCGAACUGAUGAGCGGCUCCCGUCAGCUGCAACCAGCGAAUCUCCAACUACGUCGAUGAUCUCAUCAGUUCUAAGAUUCUUAGCUUUGACAUUGACGGUUGAUUUGUCGUGAGAAAUGCAGAAAGUGAGGUACAAGUGACCCCAAAAAACUAUUUCGACAGGCAGAGUAUUGUAUAUAAGACCAUGAAGAUCAGUCCAAUGUGCCACUAUAAUGUGUAUAUGCAUACAUUACCUGAUCAAUGGUGAGAGGUAAGGUGAUGUUGUGAAGAAGAUCAGGUUGAUGGAGCCAUGACUUAACUAUUUUCUCGGACAAUGGAUGAAGUGCGAUUCCAGCGCCGGUUGGGUUUCCGGUUUGAGGUCCACGUGUCUUCUCGAUCACCACCACAUCCCAACCUGCUAAAAUAAGCGCUUUUGCGCAUGAUAUCCCUGCUAUGCUUCCCCCAACUAUUAUAGCUUUUGGCUUCCGCAUCCUCUCCCUCAUGUCUCUCUCUUCCUCUCAAACACCAGUAUGUGUGACACAAAGGGACGCUCGCGCAUAGAUAUAUUUAUAGACAGGGGAAAACUUCCCAUUCUGAAUUCAUAAAACAGGAAGAGCCGGCAAUCAUAUGAACAUUUUUUUAUAUUAUUGUCAAAAAAUUUUUAUUCUAUUGUUAAUUUGACUCGGAUUUUAAUAAAAUUUAACAUCUCGAACCAAGUCACUACUCUAGAGAAAAAUUUCAAGAUUAUAUCUGUUGAUUCCGGUAGGGCAGGAGUCUCAUGCAGAAGUUUCUCAUCUAUUUUCUUACCAGAACAAAUUUCUAGUCAAAAUGAGGGUGUGAAAGGAGGAUAAAUAGACGAAAUUUGGCCCACCACUUCAUUCUUCCUAAAUGAAUAGCUUUUUACCCUAUUAAACGAGGAAAAAUGGAUUAGAUUCUCCCUUAAUUUGAUCUGAUUAGUGAUUACUAAAUAAAGACCACACUUUAUUGUAGUGUGUUUCGUCAUUUAAUACAUUGAAGUUUGUAUGUGGCCCUAGUUUAGUUGGGUAUUAGAUCACUUAAUUGGAAAGGGACUUCCUUAAUUAUUUUUCAAAAGCACAUCCUAUAAGACUCCAACAGAUGGAGUCCAAGUUCUAGAAUAGAUGAAUAAAUUAUGUCAAUUAAAUGGCAAUAGCCCACCAAAGAAGACAGAGAAACAAGUUAGGAGAGAUUCCAGAGUAUACCAAAAGUAUUUCAUCUAAUUAAUAUAUAUAUAUAUAUAUAUAUAUAUAUAUAUAUAUAUAUAUGUUAUGUGUGUAUUUAUUUUAAAAAAUUAUUAUGUAAUUAAUAAUUAUAUUUAAUUGAACUAUACUUAUUAUAUAUGUAUUUGUUAUAUGUAGCACCUAUAUUAUACUCUAGAAUUUCUCACAAGAUAAUAUGUCAAUAUACCACAAACACAAAGUUUGAAUCCUGUGAAAUAUGUUUAAAAUUGACUCUUGUAGAAAUUAUUAUGUGGUGGUGAAAUGAUUAUGAUAAAUAAUAUAUUAACACGUGUCAAUAUAUAAUUAUGCUACAUCAAUGAGGGUACCAUUGGUAUCACAUUUUUGUUUUACGUCUUAACUUUUGUAUUGACAAUAUUAGUUUUGUAUUAUAUAUAUAUAUAACUACUAAGUUAUUUUUUGCAAUCAAUAAAUAUCUAAUAACUCAAUACUUCUAUAUUUAUGCUCAUAAAAUUUGUACUUUUUAAAUAAAUAUUAAAAUAUCUUAAAAAUAAUAAAUUAUAUUUUUUAACACUAAUUAAAACAAAUAAUUUUCACAUUUAAUCUUGUUUUAGUUUAUAACAUGGACCAUUCGCUCACCACUUGGCAUAACUUUGUAACCUAGGUCCUGCUUGGAAUCGAAGUAUUAUACCUUUUAAGUUACGACUGCCGUAAAAAAGUUGUAAUUAUAAAACAAAAAAUUAAUAGCUGUGAACUUAAUGAUUGCUUACUAAACUUUAGGCAUUUAUUUAUUUAAUUAAUUGUCUAAAAUUUACUUGUUAAUGUUAUUGACAAUACUUAUAUAUUGAUUAAAAAGAUGAAGUAAGGUAUUGAUCUUAUUGAUCAACAAAAAUAUUUUAUCCUAAAUUGACAUAUUUGUGUAUUUAUUCUAAUGUUAAAACUUUAAUUUCUCAUUUAUGCGGAUAAAAUUUAGAAAUCGGUAUUAUAUGUAGAUUUUUAAGCUCCUAUUAUAAAUUUAUAGUUUGACUUAUAUAAUUUACUUUAUUUUUUGUGUUUUUAAAAGUAUUGUUUUAAUAUUUGUGAAGUAAAAACCCAUUGCAGGUUACACGAGGAUUUAGUAAUUGUUAAAACCUACAGCAGGUGAAUUUUUUUUUAAAUAAAAAACCCAUAGCGAGUUAAGAAUUUACUGAUUUAAUUACUUUUUACAAGUGCAUGUUUGAUAAUGAUAAAAUCACUGCACUGAAAGAAAUUCUAUGAAGAAUAUAAUUCUUGUUUUGUAUUUUUAAUGAAAUUUACAGAAUUAUUUAUACAAAAUAAAGACAAAGUAGCCGUUGAAAGGCUUAAUAAUAUUAAAGGAGAAUAAGUGAAUACUUCCUAAACUAUUGGACAAUAUCUUUAUAACAUAUGAAUGAAAUAUUCCUACAUGAUAUUGACAUUCAUGUGCAAAAAUCGUAGUGGAGAUAUUUCUUGACAAAUAACUUUGACGGGAGCAAGUCGUGUGGACUCCACAACUGUGGAGUGAUAAACCCGUUCUUGACUUGACCGUUAAUGACUUUCCUUUUGGUAAUCUUGGUCAGCUUGCUUAACAAGUGGUACCCAUAACCCAUCCAUACAGCUAGGCUAGCUAAACAGCAUAAAUAAAUGUAUAACGAUUCUUAUAUAAAAAGCCACCACCCCAAGCCAAAAGAAAAAAAAAAUUGUGCUGAAUACAACAAUAAAAUUUCUUCAGUUUUUACUUGGAAACAAGAGAGAUGAAUAUGAAGAAGCAGAAGCCAAAAGCUAUUGUAGUUGGAGGAAGCAUUGCUGGGGAAUCAUGCGCAAAAGCACUUGUUUCAGCAGGCUGGGAUGUUGUUGUGAUUGAGAAAACUCGUGGACCCCCAACCCAAAACCCAACCGGUGCUGGCCUUGGACUCGAUCCAUUGGCUCAGAAAAUUGUUCAGUCAUGGCUCCAUGAACCUGAACUUCUUUACAACAACACUUUACCUGUCACCAUUACUGAGGUAUAUAAUAUAAUAUAUUUAAUUUCUUUUUUCCCAGUAGAAUCCAGUAGUGCUUUGAAUUAUACUGAUCUCCUAAAGAUAUUAGUUGCACACGUGUAUAUACAAUGGUGUAUGGUUAAGAUUUGAUAAAAGUAUAUUUUGCUCUGCACAAAGUACAAUUUAGAAUGGAAUCUCAUUGGGAAAAAAAUAUCUAUAUAUGUUGAAUAGAUUAAAUUUCAAUUUGUGUUUAAUUGCAGAACCUAGCAACAGAUGGGCAAAAGAAGAUCAGCUGGGUAAUAGGAAGAGAAGAAGGCGCUAAGUAUCUGACAGCAUAUUGGGCUGAUCUUCAUGGCCUUAUAUACAAUACUCUGCCACCUGAAAUAUUUUUAUGGGGUCACCAGUACCUCUCUUUCUGUAUUUCUGAAGACAAAUUAACUGUCAAAGUUAGAGCUAAGGAUCUUGAGACUGAUGAAAUAAUCGAGAUAGUAGGAGAUUUGCUCGUCGGAGCAGAUGGGAUCCUCUCAUCAAUUGGUCAGAGCAUUCUACCUGACUUCAAAUUGAGGUUUGUGCUUGCUUGUGAAUGUCAAUAAAAGUAAUUAAUUUUUGAGUAUUUUGUUUCAUAAUUUUCAAUGUGUUUUUAAUAGGUACACAGGAUACUGUGCGUGGAGAGGUGUUUUUAAUUUUUCAGAAAACGAUUCAGAAACCAUCUUAGGCAUUCGAAAAUCGUAUCCUUAUAUUGGGAAAUGCCUUUACACGAAUAUUGGUUCAGGAUCGCACAUCAUACUCACUGAGCUUAAGAAAGAGAAGUUCAAUUGGGUUUGGUAUGUCAAUCAACCUGAGCCCGAGCUCAAGGUAACUGCUUACUUUUGUUUCAUCUUUUUAUUUUGUUUUCGGGGGUUUGGGUUGAGUGCUAAAAUCUAAUUUUUGCAAACGAUCAACACAGCUCAGACCAUCACCGGAUCCUUUUUUUUUUUUAAUUUUCCGGUUUAUCAAUGCAGUAUGACGUCACAUUGGGAAACAAAUUAUUUUAUUCUCUGCAGGGAAAUACAACUUCUGUGAAAGUAAGCAGUGACAUGAUCAAGGAGUUGCACCAAAGAGCAGAGCAGGUUUGGUUACCUGAAUUGUCAAGAAUGAUCAAAGAAACAAAGGAUCCUUUCCUUAAUGCUAUAUAUGAUUGCGAUCCUUUGGAGAAAAUCAUCUGGGACAGAGUGGUGCUAACAGGAGAUGCAGCUCACCCGACAACUCCACACUCUGCCAGAAGCACAAACAUGGCGAUAAUAGAUGCAGCAGUGUUAGGAAAAUGCCUCGAGAAGUGGGGGCCGGAUCAUUUAUACUCUGCUCUGGAAGAAUAUCAAUUCAUUAGGAAGCCUGUAACUUCAGCACAAGUUCUACAUUCGCGACGAUUGGGUCAAAUGAAACAGGGGUUAAGUAUUCCUGGAAGGGAGCGGCCUUUUGAUCCAAAGACAGCAAGUCUAGAGGACUCGGAAUUCAUCCUUAACAAAAAUGUGCCUCUUUUCGACGUUGUUCCUCCGAUUCUUGAUUCAAUUUUUCGUUCUGCUUGAUAAUUUUCAAGGGAGAAAGUAACAUUUUCAUUUUUAUGCAACAAAGUCAUCUAGAGACAAACCUUCUCUUGUGUUUUCACAGCUUUGGGGAAACUUCAAAGGACACGGCUUGGUCUGUUCAUUAUGCUAACUAUAGCUGCCUAUAAAUAAGAGGGUUGACCUCAAUUGUGUGAGUAAAAGAACUGCUAUACUUAUGUUCCUUCCUGUAAUAACGAAAGCCUCUUCCUUAAUUCAGUGUCUCUACUUCUUUAGCAAAAUAAAAUAAAUUCUUGAUCGAAAUACACCCAACUUUUCCAAUUUUCUUAUAAAAAUGACACCACAAUAGGAUGGGAUUGUCCUUGUGUUGUGUCAUUGAUCUAUUGAUGCAGCGGAAGUUUAAUGUUCAAAAUAUUCCGUUGCUGCAGUUUGGUAUUAGAGCUAAAACCUGGUCCACCAAUCUAACUCCAUCUACCACCAAACCUUUCCUUUUUUCCUUUUUUGUUUUUUUCCGUUUAGUUUAAAAAAAAACCCAAACAACACCAAAAAAGCAUAGAAAAAAAAAAGAAAAAAAUUAUAUCAUGAAAUCACAACAUCGACGUGAAGAUUUCAUCUUGAGAGAUGUUUUAAUUAAGAUGUUGAGGAUUUUACGUUUGAUUUCUCAAGAUUUAGAGAAACUUCGAGAUAGAAAAUCUUUACACAUAAAGCAGACAUAUGGAUUCGAUGAAGUUGUUCAUGAUGAUGUUUGUUAUGAGGAUAAUGAGGAAAAUGGUAACUUUGUUUCUCUCGACAAUAUUAUUCCUUCCAAAGAGAAUAUUAAUUGGCCAUUCGUGUCUACAACAAAUCCUCAAUACAAAGAUAUUAAUUUGGAUCAAUUGCCAUAAUUUGAUGAGUAUCUUGAUAUUAUAGGACGAGAAGAGGUAAUUGUUCAUCCAUCUUUUGAUCUUGUGGAGGAAAGAGAGAUAGUUGUUGAUACAAUCUCCUAUUGUUCUCUUGAUUUGCCAAAAGAAGACAAAAAGAGUUGUGAUAUUUUUCAACAAUUAGUGGAUUAUGAGAAGAAAUCGUUUUUCCUCAACUAUGUUGAAGUUCGACACGAACGAUACAAGAAAACAUUAUUAAAGAAGUUGUUGAUAGAAGAAUUUAUUUUACGCCAUUGGAGUGAUUGGAUGGACGUUAUUACAAAAGUUGGAAAAUUUAAAGUUCGUCGUCUAUGUCAAAGCUCUGUUUUAAAAAUUAAUCCUUAUGCACAUGAAGAUGUUCUUGAAGACUACAACAUACAAAAUUCGAGGACGAAUUUUCUCCAACCUAGCGGGAAUGAUGCAGAGCAAGAAAUUGAAGAAAUCCUAAUUAUAUUUAAAUGUAUAAUAUUUAGGAAUAUUUUAAUUAAUUUGUAUUAUAGUUUAAUUUGGUUUCCUAUUUAGAGUCUUAUUGUUUAGGUAUUGCUUAUUUGGGUAAUAUUCCUAAUUUAGGCAUAAGUCUUAUUAAAAUAGGUUUUCUAAUCAUAUUAGGAUAAGUCUUACUUAGUAUAAAUAAGUGUCUUUUGUAGCUUUUACAAGCAGAGAAUUUUGAGUUCAAUAAUAUUUCAAUUUUCAAAUCUCUUUGUGAGUAUUUGAACAGUUAAUUCUCGGUAUUCUGAAUCAACGAGUCUUAACCCCUAAGUUCGCGAUAUUCUUUUGAAUCAAUGUGAAUUUAGUUGUUCUUUUAUUCCGGUAUUCUCUAGAAUCAACGGAAUAUUUUGAACAUUAAACUUCUGCUACAUCAUAAGUUUCUUUUGUAGCUUUUACAAGCAGAGAAUUUUGAGUUCAAUAAUAUUUCAAUUUUCAAAUCUCUUUGUGAGUAUUUGAACAGUUAAUUCUCGGUAUUCUGUGGAAUCAACGAGUCUUAAUCCCUAAAUUCGCGGUAUUCUUUUGAAUCAACAUGAAUUUAGUUGUUCUUUUGUUCCGGUAUUCUCUAGAAUCAACGGAAUAUUUUGAACAUUAAACUUCUGCUACAUCAUAAGUGUCUUUUGUAGCUUUUACAAGCAGAGAAUUUUGAGUUCAAUAAUAUUUCAAUUUUCAAAUCCUUUUGUGAGUAUUUGAACAGUUAAUUCUCGGUAUUCUGUGGGAUCAACGAGUCUUAAUCCCUAAAUUCGCGGUAUUCUUUUGAAUUAACGUGAAUUUAGUUGUUCUUUUGUUCCGGUAUUCUCUAGAAUCAACGGAAUAUUUUGAACAUUAAACUGAUGGACGUUAUUACAAAAGUUGGAAAAUUUAAAGUUCGUCGUCUAUGUCAAAGCUCUGUUUUAAAUAUUAAUCCUUAUGCACAUGAAGAUAUUCUUGAAGACUACAACAUACAAAAUUCGAGGACGAAUUUUUUCCAACCUGGCGGGAAUAAUGCAAAGUAAGAAAUUGAAGAAAUCCUAAUUAUAUUUAAAUGUAUAAUAUUUAGGAAUAUUUUAAUUAAUUUGUAUUCUAGUUUAAUUUGGUUUCCUAUUUAGAGUCUUAUUGUUUAGGCAUUGCUUAUUUGAGUAAUAUUCCUAAUUUAGGUAUAAGUCUUAUUAAAAUAGGUUUUCUAAUCAAGUUAGGAUAAGUGAUGCAGCGGAAGUUUAAUGUUCAAAAUAUUCCGUUGAUUCUAGAGAAUACCGAAAUAAAAGAACAACUAAAUUCACAUUGAUUCAAAAGAAUACCGCGAACUUAGGGGUUAAGACUCGUUGAUUCAGAAUACCGAGAAUUAACUGUUCAAAUACUCACAAAGAGAUUUGAAAAUUGAAAUAUUAUUGAACUCAAAAUUCUCUGCUUGUAAAAGCUACAAAAGACACUUAUUUAUACUAAGUAAGACUUAUCCUAAUAUGAUUAGAAAACCUAUUUUAAUAAGACUUAUGCCUAAAUUAGGAAUAUUACCCAAAUAAGUAAUACCUAAACAAUAAGACUCUAAAUAGGAAACUAAAUUAAACUAUAAUACAAAUUAAUUAAAAUAUUCCUAAAUAUUAUACAUUUAAAUAUAAUUAGGAUUUCUUCAAUUUCUUGCUCUGCAUUAUCUAUCCAUAUUUGUUUUUCCCAAAACAAUUUCCAUGAAGGAGGAUGUUUUGCUGCUUGUUAGUGCACGCUAUUUAAGCACAAGACAUGAUUGAGAUUUAUGCAAGGUAUGUGGUAGAAUUUAUGUAAGACGACCGAUGAAGCUAAACAUGAGAGUUAGUAACUUUUACUGUGGUGAUCAACGCGUUGAAGAAAAAUUUUAGAAUUUUUAUUAUAAGUGGUGCAUACAAAAGUUGGUGAGUCGAACUUGUACUCAAAUACUAGCUCAUGUAUUAGGAGUUGCCUUAGGCUUAUGUUAUUAAUCUAGUAACUAAUAUUAGCGAUAUGAAAUAUUUUUUCUAUCAUCUUCCAUCACAUGUGUGUAGGUCAAUCUUUUUGUUUGGUCCUUGUCUUGUGAUAAGAUAGUGUGAGUGAUUUUGAGAGAAAAUAUGAAAAACACAAACAAUGAAAAUUCACUUUUACUUAAACUAAGACACAGAUUUUUUUACACUGAAGUUGAUAGAAGACACUCGAAUGCGCAGGAGUGAAAUCUUGACAAAUUAAAGCGAGAACUAAGACAUGCUAGUCCUUUCUCGCGCAUUUAGUUGACAUUAUUUUGCUUUGCAAAUAAAUGCGGGCAUGGUUGAAGGCAUUUUAUCUUUUCGGAAGUGGAUGGAGAAAUAAAUAUAAUUAAAAGGGAUGCGAAUAAUAAAUGCCAUUUUUCUUAAUAACGAAGAAGAAUAUAUUAGAAAUAAAUUGAAAUGUAACAAAAUACUUGAAAUAAUUCAAGUGGUGGGUUUUUUCUUUGUCAAUAACGCCCGAUAGUUCCUUGUUUUGAAGAAAGCUCAUUGUGCUGAACUGAGAAGAGAGAAGAAGCCAUAAAUUAAAAUGCGUCAACAAUGCCACGUCAACAAUGUUGAGUCAGCUGAUUCUGUUAAGCAGCAAUGAGAGUUCACGUGUAUUGCUGUUAGUUAGUAUUAGCCAGUCUCUUACUGAUUAGUUAACUAUUUUUCAGUGUAAUACAAAUUAGUUUGUUAUAGCUUUUACUAAUAAACAUGUAAGUAUAUAAAGUUUGUAAGAACUACUCAUUUUUAACUAAUGAAUUAGAUCCAGAAUAUUCAUAAACUUUCUCUCUGUUUUCUCGAUAACCAAACAGCAUUUUCAAUUCAUUUUACAUGGUAUCAGAGCCAGAAAUAUGGCAAGCUCAAGCAAUCCAAACACAGCAAACAUGAAUCAAUCAAUACAAACUACCUUUUCAUUCAUUACGCCAAUCAAAUUGGAUAGAUCCAAUUAUAUGCUCUGGCGAAAUCAAGUAUUAGCUUCUAUAAGAGGAAACAGACUUGAAGGCUAUAUCAAUGGAGAAAAAGCAGCACCUACUCAGUUUCUUACUUCUGGAAGCUAUGCUGAAACAAUGGGAAGAGUUACACAACAAGUUGAAAAUCCAGAAUAUACGAUCUGGAGGUCACAGGAUCAGACAUUACUAAGCUGGCUAUUAAGCUCAAUUACUGAAGGUAUCCUCAGUCACGUUCAUUCUUGUAAUACUGCAUAUGAUGUGUGGAAAACAUUGGAGAAAAAAUUUGGUGCAAAAUCUGAAGCUAGAGUUCUUUAACUCAAAUAUAAGAUGAGUGUUUUGAGGAAAGAUUCGCUAAAUGUAGAAGAUUAUUGUUUGAAAAUGAAACAAAUAGAAGAUAAGUUAGCAUGUGCUGGUAGUUCAGUUUCUGACAAAGAUCUGUUACAACAAAUCCUUAAUGGUCUUGAACCAGGCUAUCUAGAUUUAGCAACUUUCAUUACUGCUAGUAAAUUAGAUUUUGAUGAUGCAUAUGCAUUGCUACUCACACAUGAAACAAGAUUGGAAUAGAGUCUAAAUGAAAAACAUAUGUUAAAUGCAAAUCUUGCUAAUGUUUCUCAUAAUAAUAGUAGCUAUGGUAUGAUGAAUGUUUAUUAUGCUCAAGCAAGAGGUAAUGCUCGAAGAGGUGGAUAUAAUGGAGGAUUUCAUGGUGGAAAUCAAUUUGGAAGGAACAAUUUUCAUACUGGAAAGGGAAUGUUUGUCAAUUCUCAUCCAAGAGGCUUUCCUUCUGGAUCUGGAAAUUUUGGUAAUAAUCUUGGUAGAGGUCAAAUGGUUGGAAACAAUAAUAAGCAGGCACAAUUCAUGAGAGGACAAUAUAGUGCUAACUCUAGUUUGUCAAAUUCUGAUGGUAAUGAUGAACAAGCUGUUGUCUGUCAAAUCUGCUUUAAAUCUGGACACACAGCAGCAGAAUGUUGGCAUAGAUUUGAAGAAAACUAUAUGCCUCAACACAUGAAAAGAGGAAGAAAUCAGAGAUCAUCUUAUAUGACAUACUUUAAUGCACCUACUGAAGAUUCAUGGCCUACUGCAGCUGCUUAUUCAGGGAUACCUCACAUGUAUAAUCCACCAUGUUCUUCAUACAUAUUUGAUUCAAUGAGCUUACCUGUGAAUGGAGCUGGAGCUGCUUAUGUUGCUAACUUUGAGGGACCAGCAGAUGAAGGAUGGUAUCUUGACAAUGGAGCUACACACCAUCUAACAAACAAUAUGGCAAAUAUGCAUGUCAGCAAUGAGUUCAGAGGUAAUGACAAGCUUAUCAUUGGUGAUGGUAAAGGUAUGUCAAUCACACAUAUUGGUAAUACCAAUCUUCCAGUUCAAAGCUCUAAAACACAAUCUGCAUAUACAUGCAUUGCACUCAAAGAUAUACUGCUUGUUCCAUCUAUUACAAAGAAUUUAAUAAGUGUUUCCAAACUCACCACUGAUAAUGACUUAUCUGUUGAAUUCCUUGGAUCUGUUUACUUUGUGAAGGAUAUACUGAAGGGGAAAAUUCUGCUACAGGGUAUUGUUGAGAAAGGUUUAUACAAAUUGCAGCUGAGUUCAUCACCACAAUCUACAUAUACCUCUUUUCUAUCCCAAAGUUCAAUAAAUAAACCUGUAUCUAUGCUAUCUCAGUGUUAUCUUAGCACUUCAGUUAAUAGUCUUUGUUCUGGAAAAUGUUUUCAGUCAAAUAAGAAUACUUGUAGCACUGAUUCAUUCAAUAAAAUGUCUUUACUUCACAAAAGAUUUGGUCAUCCUAAUACUCAAAGUCUACUUCAUUUACUUAAGCUUGUGCAUCCCAAUUUGUGCUCUACAAAUAUUGUUAAUCAAGCAACAAAGCAUUUCUGUGAAGCAUGUCAGUUGGGAAAAUUUCAUAGGCUUCAUUUUCCAAUCACUGAUAUCAAAUCCACAGCAGCACUAGAACUUGUUCAUACUGAUCUAUGGGGUCCCUCACCAGCAUGUUCUAGAGAUGGUUUUAGAUAUUACAUUAGUUUUGUUGAUGAUCACACUAGAUACACCUGGAUUUAUCCUUUGAAACUUAAAUCAGAAGCUCUAGAAGUGUUCAAACUAUUUAAACUUCAAGUUGAAAAUCAAUUUCAAACUACUAUCAAAAUUCUACAAUCUGACUGGGGGGGAGAAUACAGACCAUUUACUUCCUUCCUAAAUGAGUGUGGCAUUCUUUUUAAACAUUCUUGUCCUUACACUCACCAUCAAAAUGGACUUGGUGAAAAAAAACACAGACAGAUUGUAGAAUUAGGACUGACACUUCUAGCCCAAGCCAAACUUCCUUUUCAAUUGGUGGGAUGCUUUUCAUGCCUCAGUCUAUCACAUUAAUAGACUCUCUACUUCUGUACUUAAGAUGUCUACUCCAUAUAAAAAGCUUUAUAAACACAAGGCUGAUUAUAACAUGCUGAAAUGCUUUGGAUGUGCUUGUUAUCCAUAUAUGAGAGAUUACAAUAAGCAUAAGUUUGACUAUCACACAACCAAGUGCAUCUGUCUUGGUUAUAAUCCAUCUCAUAAAGGCUACAAGUGUUUUCACCCAUCUGGUCAUAUAUAUAUAGCUAGGCAUGUUGUCUUUGAUGAACACUCAUAUCUAUUUGCUUCAGAUCCUAGCUUUCAUUCUUCAAAUAAAUCUAAGUCUGAUACACAUUGCACAAUUACUCCUAUACAAGUUUUUCAGUUGUCAACAUUACCUGUCAUAUCAGAUUUUUCAGUCACCAGCAAUGAAUCUUUCUCUCAAGCAUACUCCAGUGGCAACAUUUUCCCUCCAACAGUAGUCUUAACACAUGCAAAUAGUUUAGACUAGCAACCCUCACACACAAAUAGAAAUAAUCCAUCUGCACCUACAAUGUUACCUUCUGUACCUGAUACAACACCAGAUCAGCCUUCAGAUGAAAAUUCACAAAACCAACAUAAUAAUAAUACCUCUCAUCUCAAUCAAACAGUGGUAACCUCAUCAUCAUUAAACCAACAUCCCAUGAUCACUAUAGGAAAAGCAGGUAUUUUUAAGCCAAAGAUAUAUGCUGCAGUAUUGUUACAUAAAGAACCAGACACUGUUCAGGAGGCUAUCAAUGAUGAGAGAUGGUUUCAAGCAAUGAAAGCUGAAUAUGAUGCACUAAUGUCAAAUGGUACCUGGACACUUGUGCCAAGAACAGAAGAUCACAGACUUGUUGGCAACAAAUGGGUGUUUCGAGUAAAAUCAAAUACUGAUGGAAGUGUUGCAAAAUAUAAGGCAAGGUUGGUUGCUAAAGGAUUCCAACAAAUAGAAGGGGUUAACUACUUUGAGACUUUCAGUCCAGUGGUGAAAGCAGCAACAGUUAGAGUGGUCCUAAGCCUAGCAGUAAUGAAUCAGUGGUAGAUAAGACAGGUUGAUGUGAAUAAUGCAUUCUUAAAUGGAGAUCUAAUUGAGGAGGUAUAUAUGAGUCAACUAGAAGGGUUUAUUGAUUCCAAAAGACCUGAUUUUGUGUGCAAACUUCACAAGGCACUUUAUGGUUUGAAACAAUUUCCACGAGCAUGGUUUGACAAGCUGAGAAAUAGUCUUAUGCAAUGGGGAUUUGAGAAUUCUAAGUCUAACUCAUCUUUGUUCUUGAAAAAGAAUAAAAGAUCAAUUAUUUUAAUCCUGAUAUAUGUAGAUGACAUAUUGAUUACAGGAUCAAGUUGUGAUGCGCUGGAAGAUUUUAUCAAGCUAUUCAGUUCUGCAUUUGCAUUAAAGGAUCUGGGAAAGCUAUCUUAUUUUCUUGGAAUAGAAGUUUUGUAUGAUCUUGAUAGUGUGUAUCUGUCACAAAGGAAGUAUAUUAGAGACUUGUUGGCUAAAGUUGAUAUGCUCGAAUGCAAAGGAAUAGAUACACCAAUGAGCAGCAGCAAAGAUUACAGAUUGCAGAAGAAUGUUGAAGGAGAAAUAGGUUACUACAUACAAUAUCCAUCUCAUUACAGAAAGCAUAGUAGGAGGUCUUCAGUAUCUAGUUUUGACAAGACCUGAGAUUGCCUACUUUGUUCAUAAGUUAAGUCCGUAUGUAUUGCUGCGUAAAUUAGCAAGUGUACUAGUCGGCACAAGUAAUAUAAUGAAGAGUAGAGUAUCGUCCCACAGAGAUUGUAUAUCCUAUUAGUUACCGAAAUUAUUCCAACCCUAAUUUAUUUGAACAAUCGAAUAAAUGAAUUUAGAUUAAAAUUAAAUAAAAUAAAACAAUUAAAAAUUAAAUAAAGAUGUAGACAGUAAUAGAAAUCACCAAGAGAUUAAAACACUAGGACAUUUGAUUUCACCAUAACCAAUCCAAUUUAAUCCUCCAUCUAUGCUAUUAAAAUUGAUUACCCAUGUUGACAGUGAAUUUCCCUAAUUUAUUCAAUAUCCUCUCUCGAGUAAUAUCAAAAAUAUCUCCACAUAUCAACCCACUAUAUCUCUAUGUGAAUUUGAAUAUGCAAAGAUUCAUUAAGCUCUAUGAAAAUUCUUAGAUAAAACUGCACGAAUCACGUUGGCACAUCUCUGUCUUUCGUUCAAUUCAUGGCAUCCAUUACACAGAGCAAAAAUACAUAAAUCUCCUCUCGGUCUCAUUAUGUAUCCUCAAAUCAUUCAAAUAUUGGCCAGAUAUUUAAAAGCAUUAAGCACAAUAAUGAACACUCAAUCAUGGAAUAAUUAAUUAAAAAUAACAUAGAUUUAUGGAAUUAAAUCUUCAUAGUUAGGCUACAUCGUAGCCCUAGUAAAAUAAAUUAGUUCAUGGAAAUAUAAAGAGAAUCCAUUAAUUUAAUUGGAAACAUUCAAGCAAGAUAAUAGAGAAGAGGAAAAGAAAAACUCAAGAAUUAAUGUGUCUUCCUCCUGCUCCAGAUUAUUCCUGCUGCUCUCGGUUUUGCUCAAAACUUGCGGCUGCCUUUUUCUAUCUCCUUUCUCUUGGCUUCUUAUUAUUCUCCUUGUGCGGCUGCCUUUCUUCCCUUUUAUAAUGUUGUGGUUUCUUCCAAAUCCUUAAAGGAAAAGGAUUGCAAAUCCAGCCCACGAAUCCUUAAAUGAAAAUAAUUAAAAACAAAAGCCCAACCGCCUAUUUCAUUCCUAAGCCAAUCAGAAUUAAAAGCAAAAGCCCCUCCACGUGUUGCAUGCCAUAUUUGUCUUUGUAAAUGAAUUCUUCAAUGCUUCCUCACGUGCAUGCAUGCUUAAUGAUUAAUUAAAUUAAAUCCUUUGUGAUUUGUUCCAAUUAAUUCUCUUUAUUUCUUUAUUGUACCUAAAAUAAGAAAAUAUAAAAAUUAAGAUAAAAUUAACAUAAUUAAAUAUAAUUUAACAUAAAAUUAAGUUAUGGAAGCAUUAAAAUAAUAGAUUAAUAUUAGCACAUCAUGUAUCUUCACCAACACUUCAACAUCUUAUGGCAUGCAAACGUGUGCUUAGAUAUUUGAAGGAAACACAAGAUUAUGGGCUGAAAUUUGUUAAGGAAGGUGAGCUAAAGGUUAUAGCAUUUACAGAUGCAGACUGGGGAAGUGAUCUUGAUGACAGAAGAUCCACUGGUGCCUAUUGUGUGUAUCUAGGAAACAACUUAAUCUCAUGGUCCUCAAAGAAGCAAUCUGUAGUUACAAAGUCUUCUGCAGAGAGUGAAUACAGAGCGCUUGCAGCUGCUGUUUCAGAGAUAACAUGGUUAAAAUCUUUAUUUCUUGAGAUUGAUCUAUGUUGUGUGGAGAAACCAGUUAUAUGGUGUGACAAUGUGAGUGCUAAAGAACUUGCUUAUAAUCUAGUGUUUCACUCAAGAACAAAACACAUAGAAAUCGAUCUGCAUUUUAUCAGAGAUAAGGUUCUAGCUGGAGAUCUUAAGAUUCUCUAUAUUCCUAGUGCAGAGCAGAUAGCAGACAUAAUGACUAAGCCCUUAAACUCUCCUCAAUUCAUUUAUCUGAGAAACAAACUCAAUGUGCAUUUAUGCCCCUUGAGUUUGAGGGGGGCUGUGAAGAAAGCUCAUUGUGCUGAACUGAGAAGAGAGAAGAAGCCAGAAAUUAAGAUGCAUCAGCAAUGCCACGUCAACAAUGCUGAGUCAACUGAUUCUGUUAAGCAGCAAUGAGAGUUCACGUGUAUUGCUGUUAGUUAGUAUUAGCUAGUCUCGUACUGAUUAGUUAACUGUUUUUUAGUGUAAUACAAAUUAGUUUGUUAUAGCUUUUACUAAUAAACAUGUAAGUAUAUAAAGUCUGUAAGAACUACUCAUUUUUAGUGUAAUACAAAUUAGUUUGUUAUAGCUUUUACUAAUAAACAUGUAAGUAUAUAAAGUCUGUAAGAACUACUCAUUUUUAACUAAUGAAUUAGAUCCAUAAUAUUCAUAAACUUUCUCUCUGUUUUCUCGAUAACCAAACAGCAUUUUCAAUUCAUUUUACACUUGUCAUGAGCUUCUCAUCUUCUGUCUUGAAGGAAGAAAUUGCAAAAGACGAAUAAAACGAUUUCCUUUACACAUUCAAUCAAUGCUGCUGCCUUCAUAUCUUUAUUAUUAUCGGAGGGAUGAUACUGUUGAGAGCCGAAACCAUUACCCAUACUCACUCCUCUUAUGGCCGUGUCUAACUCUCUACAAUAAUUUCGAUAUUUCUGUUCUUCAGUUCUUCCACUACUCAACAAAUGCGAAGGUUUGCGAUGGCUCCACUCAUUCAAGUUGAUUUUACAUUUGUUACAAUCUACUCCCGCCAUUGCUAGAGCCUCUAUGGACAUGUUUUAACAAGGUGAAGGAGAAGCUAAAUAAAAUUCACAAUUUGCCUGAAAGUUUACAGCUUCCAGGAAAUUCACCACCUCUAUAGAAUUGUAAUAACAAGAAUUGUGGUCUCCGUAAAAGAAUUUAUAAGAGUUAAUAUAAAAGAUUUGUUUAGGAGAAUGAAUUUUAUACGGACUAGAAAUACUCAUGAUUAAUUGGUUAUUCAGAUGGUUUAGAAAUCCUCUCGAUAUUAGGAAGCCAUUUAAGAUUCUGAUUAUUGUUGUUCUAAAUAUAUUAGUUUGCACCAACUUCCAAUUCCACAAUUACUCUGACAGCGGUUUUCACGGACUUAUUUAUGUAUCUGAAUCUUUUUAUUCAUGAAAGAAUAAUCUCUUGCAAACUCACAACUUCAAUUAUGAAUCAACUAGCUAGCAACCAUUUCUUUACUUUUAAUUGCUUUGGAAAUUAAGGAUUCGUCAGCCGCCAGAUUCUGCAGUGAUUCUGUUGCAUUCAAUUAUUUGUUGAACUAUUUAUGCACGAGUGGAGGAGGAAUUCUAGAAUACAUUUGAAAUAAUACAAUCAACCAAUGCAUGCACACCACUUGUAUGGAGAUUUUUCAAAAAUAAAUGCACACAUGUCAUAACAUUAUCUACUUGUUAUAUGACUGACAUGAUAUGUUUUAUGUAUUCUAAAAUUUUCCUGAGUGGAGACCAUGAGUGGUAACAUCCACGUGACAAGAGAGUAUUACAAAGAGAUAGUCUCUUGUCAAUUUGAAUAUUUAUUGUAUUGAAACUACUAAGUAUAUAAGCUCGGACAACCCUAAUUUCAUGAUGAGGGGUUAAAGACAAUACUAUUCUAAAAGAAAAUGGAACGAAAUCGUCCAUCCAUAGCCAUUAUUUGACUUUUAGAUUUGCCCUUCCAAAUUUUAACAAAAUGCGCAGACGAUUUUUAAUUUAUUCAUGUGAACGAAGUACAACAAAAUUAUUGAACCAAUCAGAACCAAGAUGGAAAUGAUCAUAAGCAAAAGUAAUUUGCAAGGACGAAUGGAAGCAGAUAAAUUAUUCUAAUUAAGAGACUAAGUGCAAGUGAAAUAACUGUAGCACUGAUUAUUCGAGUAUGGAGGGAACGUCGUCGAAGAAGGGUAAACUUCUCUGUUUCAGGAUUUCACAAUCCUCAGGACUUGCUGUGUUUGGAUCAAAAGGCUCACGAUCAGGGGGAGGUAAGCCAAGUUUCAUUUGACCCACUCGCCGCGAAUGCAGGACUUGCUUGGUAGUGACAGGUAGCCUAACAGAUUGAUGUUCUUCCAGAGCUGAAUGUAAAUUUUCUGGCCCCCACCUCUCAAGGCAUUUACCUAAAACUGCUGCAUCAGCUAUGACCAUGUUUGUGCUUCUUGCACAGUGAGGGGUUAUGGGAUGAGCCGCAUCUCCAAUUAAGACCACAUUGUCCCAGUAUAUUUGUGUCAAAGGGUCACAAUCAUAUAUAAGGUUAAGGAAAGGCUCCUUUGUUUCUUUUAUCACUCUUGCAAACUCAGGAACCCAAAUCUUCUCUGCUUCUUGGUGCAUCUUCUUGAUCAUGUCACUGCUCACUUUCAUUGUAGCUGAAUCUCCCUGAAAUUACUUAAUCAAUUUAUUAAAGCUAGCUCUGCUAACACGUAUGUAUAUAAAUGAUAAAAUGAAGCAAGUUAGGCAAUCACCUUGAGUUGAGGCUCAGGUUGAGAGAUAAACCAAAUCCAAUUGAGCCUCUUGCACAUAAGCUCAUCAAGGACGGUGUAAGUUCCAGAGGCCAAGUCCAUGUGCACGCCAUUCCCAAGCGUGGGAUAUGCCUUCCGGAUGCCUUGUAUGGUUUCUGAAUUCUCAUUUUCCGAAAAAUCAAAAACCCCCCUCCAAGCACAGUAACCUGUAUACCUGCAAAACAGAAAUGAAAGAUAAACCGUAAAUUUCAAGACAACAGAAAAUAUGAAAAUAUAAUAUAAUUUGUUCAGAAACCUGAGUUUAGAGUCUGGUAAAAAAGUCUGGCGAACUGAUGACCGGCUCCCGUCAGCCGCAACCAGCAAAUCUCCAGCUAUGUCGAUGACCUCAUCAGUUUUAAGAUUCUUAGCUUUGACAUUGACAGUUGAUUUGUCGUGAGAAAUGCAGAAAGUGAGGUACAAGUGACCCCAAAAAAAUAUUUCCGGAGGCAGAGUAUUGUAUAUAAGACUAUGAAGAUCAGUUCAAUGUGCCUGUAAAUAGUUGAAAUUUUCAUCUCUAGCUAGUAUCCGACAGAUGUUCUUUUCCUGAUCUACUGCCCGAUUCUGCACAGAAAGAAAAAUAAAAAAAAAAUCAGCACAACUUGUGGGAACAUCAGUUGAAAUUAAAGCAGUUCUGUGUAGACACAUACAUUACCUGAUCAAUGGUGAGAGGUAAGGUGAUGUUGUGAAGAAGAUCAGGUUGAUGGAGCCAUGACUUAACUAUUUUCUGGGACAAUGGAUGAAGUGCGAUUCCAGCGCCGGUUGGGUUUCCGGUUGGAGGUCCACGUGUCUUCUCGAUCACCACCACAUCCCAACCUGCUAAAAUAAGCGCUUUUUUGCUAUGCUUCCCCCAACUAUUAUAGCUUUUGGCUUCCGCAUCCUCUCACUCAUGUCUCUCUCUUCCUCUCAAACACCUGUAUGUGUGACACAAAGGGACGCUCGCGCAAAGAUAUAUUUAUAUACAGGGGAAAACUUCCCAUUCUGAAUUCAUAAAUCAGGAUGAGCCGGCAAUCAUAUGAACAUUUUUUUAAAAUAAUUAUUUUAAAUUUUUUUUAUACUAUUGUUAAUUUGACUCUCGAACCAAGUCACUACUCUAUAAAUUUUUUUCAAUCUGAACUUAUAUAUUCCAAUUCAAGAACAAGGUUUAAUAAUGUAAUGACCGUGAAAACUAUUAGACCAUAUGGUUUAACAAUGUAAUGAUAUUAUACUAUAAAAUCCUUUAAUAACUUUUUGAAUUGUAAUAAUAUUCAGGAUUCUAAACUAGAUCAGUACUAUAUACACACACAUACACAGGCGGUGCCAUGAAUUAUUUUUAACAGGCUCUAAGUUUAAAUAGUAAUUUAAUUUAAAAAAUUAAUUAACAAAUAACAUAUAUCAAAAUAAAAAUUUAUUAAAAUAUUUAAUUCAAUACACUUAUAAUUGUUCUUGACUUCGUUUUAUAUGUUAAAAACAUUAAAGAAUAAUCUCAUUAUCAAGACUACAAAAUAUGUCUUUUUCUAUUUAUAUAACAAAUCUAUCGUUUAACUAUUGUUCUCCCAUUUGAUUUCACAGAUGAUUUUUUAUCAAAUUUAUAGUUGAAAAUGCCCUUUCUACUGUAUCUCUAGUAACUGGUAAAAUCAAUACUAAUAUCACCAAUAAAUAAACUAAUGAAUAUAAUUUACCUUUCUUAGUCUCACCGCAUUGUUAUUUUAUUAUUUAUUUGAAAACUGAUAAUAAAUUAUGAUUAAAUAUGUUCGCAGCAAUUACAAAGUCUUGAUACAAUGUUUCUAUCUCACAUGAUGACGUAACAUCAAUAUCGAUGAUCGCUAAUUAGGGAUUCCAUUAUCCUAUUUUCCCUCUCACAUGAUGAAUAAAUAAACAGUUUUAAAAUCUCGCGUCACCCAAUGUCUAGAAUGUACCCGGAGGCCGCAGCCUCAAAAGUAGUCAAAUUAAAUUCAAACUCUACAAACUCAAUAACAUGAUUACGUCUUAUUCUUUCUUAAUUGAAGUUGAUUUUUCAAGGAGGCAAUUUGUCCCGUCGUAUGCAGCCAAGUUAGAACGAAAAAAUGCUUAAUUAAAAUCUUACGAUCUUGAAGAAACCUUUCUAAUCAAAAUAAAUUCUCAAGUCAGAUUUUUCAAUCUGGCGAUAUGGAAUUUGCCUAAUAAAACUCUACAUUCAAACAUCACGCUUAUGAAACCCUUGCAUUCAGAAUAAAUUCUUGCGGUAUAUAAAAAAAAAAAAAAUUCUUGCGGGUAAGGAGGAUCAAAUGCAAGAAAAAAGUUUGAUAAAAAUGAAUAAAAGGAAUAAGGUAAAAGGAUGAAUAAUUUUGGUAAAAUUAGGUAUCUUGUGAAUAAAAUUCAUUGAUGGUAUGUUUCCUAUGAAGUUUAUAGUAUGUGAUGAUAGCAUUCUUCUGUAGGUAUUCAGGUUAUUGUGCAUGGCGAGGGGUUCUUGAUUUUUCGGGGAUUGAGGAUUCAGAGAUCAUCAAAGGCAUGAGGAGGGUGUGUCCUGACCUGGGGAAAUGCUUAUACUACGACCUGGCAUCUGGAACUCACAGUGUGUUUUAUGAGCUUCUCAAUAAAAGGCUCAAUUGGGUUUGGUAUAUCAACCAACCUGAGCCCAUAAUGAAGGUGAUUGCUUUGCUUUCUCCCACUCGCGUGCAAUCUUUGUAUAUACUACUAACCAUGAACUGUACUUGACCUUACUUUAAGGGCCGCAGAGGUUUUGCUGUAAGUUGUUAGAACUAAAUGCUGAAUAAAACACUUAGCAUUCAUGAUGCUAGGACGCAGAUUUUUGUGAUGCUUUAGUUUAGUUUCAAAGUUUCUAAAUCUGAAUUUCUACUCACAUUAAGAAACCAUGUAUUUCUCACCUGGUAAAUUCAAUCCUACAUAUUGACUUCGAGGCAACAUAUGCUUCUGGGACCGCUGGACUUCACCUUCUGGGAUGAGCAGAUGACAAGGAGUUGCCACUAAUUACAGAUAGAUACGUUUCUUUUCCAAAUUACAUAUGUUAACCAGCCAGUUCUAAUUAUUAUUAUUUGGAAACUAUGUGCAGGGAAAUUCAGUAACCAUGAGAGUAAGCAAUGACAUGAUCAAGAACAUGCACGAAGAAGCAGAGAAGGUUUGGCUUCCUGAGUUUGUGAAGGUCAUUAAAGAAACAAAAGAACCUUUCAUAAAUGCGAUGUAUGAUUGUGAUCCUCUUAAACAAAUAUUUUGGAGUAACAUAGUAUUAAUUGGAGAUGCUGCUCACCCAACAACUCCUCAUGGUCUGAGAAGCACGAACAUGUCAAUACUAGAUGCAAUGGUCUUGGGAAAAAGCCUUGAAAAGUGGGGAGUGGAGGGUUUGCUUUCAGCUCUUGAAGAAUAUCAGACAGUUCGGCUACCUGUAACCUCAAAACAAGUCCUGCAUUCACGGCGACUUGGUCGAAUUAAACAAGGCUUAGCUCUUCCAGAUCGUGAACCUUUUAAUCCGAAGACAGCAAGUCCACGAGACUGUCAAUAGCUUCAACAGAAAACUAUGCCUUUCUUCGCAGACCUGCCUUCUCUGGUUGACUCAACAUUAUGCUCCACUUGACCUGGGAGAAGAUGAAGCAUGUUCCAAGCAACCGAAUAGUAGUUAAGUUUCAAUUCUUUACACUUAUUUACAUCAUACCCAACUUAGUUCUCAUUGUGUGUAGUCUAGUAGGAAUCUCGUGUUUGUAUAGAACUAUUGUAUCCUUGUCAUCGAUCUUUGUUUUAUUUUCAUUUAUCUUGUUAUGCAGGAAUAAACUUAAUUAUUGUGAUUAAAACAAAAAUUAUGAUCGGUUUCAUGUGCCUAUUAAAGCUAUAAGAAAUUAAACUUUUGAAUUCAAAAGGACAUCCAGCAAUUUGCCACGGGCUGGCGUAAGAGUUCUGACAUUAACAAGCCGUCAUUGUCCCAACUAACUUGAAGUUCUGUCUGGCAAUUCUUCAUAAUUUUUGACGAAAGUAAAAGCUAACAACUAACUUCAACAGAGUAAGCAUUCAAUGGUCGAUUAUUUUAAUAUUAUAUUCACUCCAUAAUUGAGGAUGAUAGUAUGAUACCAAAUGGUUGUGGCUCAGUUGGCAGUGUAGGCUGAGUUUGUGGGAAGAGCUAUCGGGUUCGAUCCCCACUAAACACACCAUUUGGGAGGAGUAAAGAGCUUUAAUUGUGACUAUACUCCGAAUCCGGAUUAAUCGAGGCCCAAUGCGGUCGCGGCACAUCGGAUGGUUUACAAAAAAAAAAAAAUUGAGGAUGAGUCUUUCUUUGUUAUUAUAUCAAUUGUUUUAUAAUUUUAAGAAGAUGAAUCAGCAUUGUAAGCCAUCAUUUUCAUUUAUAAUAAGAUUUAAUAUACAAAAUGACUGGUGAGGUACCACCAUACCAGGCGGUGCAUGGAAAGAUGGGGAAUUUGGGACUUCCAGUGCGGCGAGAGACUGAGCAUGAGGGUGCUGCAGCGGCUGGGCAUCACUUAUGAGGUAGCUACUUAAUGACCUGAUCAGUUGAGUUUUGGGGAAUUUGGAUUUUGGAUCAAUUAGUUAGGGAGUUGAGUGAGUUUUGUAACUUUAAGAAAAUAGAAUUUGACUGUAAUUAUUAGUUAUAUCUUUUACGAUAAGUUUUAAUAAGAGUAAAUUUACAAUUAACUAUUAUUAUUAAAAAAAAAAAAACCUUAGCCUCCUCUUACCUCCGCCCUUGGUACCUGCUAAAACCAAAUACCCAAAUUAUGAAAACGAAGAGCGAGACGAUAUGUUACUGGAUUGUUAUCAAAAUUUGAAGCUAGAACUUAGCAAUUGCCCAAAGAUAAAGAUUUGCUAAGAUUUUAGACCCACAGACUUUUUAGUACCAAUUUAUCUUCUUUCCUUUAAGAAUGAUGGUGAUUUGUAGAGCCAUGCCCUGUAUUCAAAAUAAACAAAUUUGAAGAAUAUAUCUGUUGAUUCCGGUAGGGCAGGAGUCUCAUGCACAAGUUUCUCAUCUAUUUUCUUACCAGAACAAAUUUCUAGUCAAAAUGAGGGUGUGAAAGGAAGAUAAAUAGACAAAAUUUGGCCCACCACUUCAUUCUUCCUAAAUGAAUAGCUUUUUACCCUAUUAAACGAGGAAAAAUGGAUUAGAUUCUCCCUUAAUUUGAUUUGAUCUGAUUAGUGAUUACAAAAUAAAGACCACACACUUUAUUGUAGUGUGUUUCGUCAUUUAAUACAUUGAAGUUUGUAUGUGGCCCUAGUUUUAGAUCACUUAAUUGGAAAGGGACUUCCUUUUUUUUUUUUGAUACAUUGGAGUCUAGUAAAACUAGGCUAAAACAGAACGGGGAAUAGAGGUUUCAUAUAUAUCAUUACAUAAGUAAUAACCAAGACUCUCAGGGGGGUUUUCAAAGACAUGAAGUCUAAGGGGUAAGGAACCAGCAAGUUUCGCCAUGGAAUCUACAGCAAAAUUAGCUUCCCGAUAUAUAUACUUUAUAGGAAUGAGCCAUUGUCUAUUUAUCAGUUCCUUUAUGGCAGUUAUGAGAGAAAAAAUGUGCAUUAGGCAUCAAGCUAGUAGAGGAAAUAAGUUGGGAAACACAUUGGCUAUCCACCUCUGCAAUUAAAUAACGAAUGCCAUGGUCCCAAGCAAUAUUAAGUCCUUGAAAAAGACCCCAAAGUUCUGCAGUAGUCACCGAUCCAAAUCCAAUGUUCAUGCCAAAGCCAAACUGCCACUUUCCAGAGCAAUCCCUCACCAAGCCCCAGCGCUGGCUAGACCAUUCUUUAAUCGUGAUCCAUCAGUAUUUAAUUUGAAAAAAGAUUCAGGGGGAGCUUGCCAUCUAACAUCUUUGAUGAUCUUAUUACUCUGACCGAAACUAAGAGUUGAUCGUGCAUUUUGAAUGUCCUGAGCCCAAGAUUUAAUUUCAGCAACAACAUGAGUGCAACAAGGGGAUUUUUGUGAGAAAAGAAAUUGAUUACGCCAAAACCAAAUUUUCCAGAUAGCCACUCCAAAUUGAUUACGCCAAAACAACAUGAAUGCAGCAAGGGGAUUUUUGUGAGUAAAGAAAUUGAUUACUCCAAAACCAAAUUUUCCAGAUAGCCGCUCCAAAUAAACAUGCCCAUUCAUCCCACACUUCAUUGAUACCAGUCUUUCCCAAGUUGAAACAGAGCCAAUCACGAAGAUUAAAGGAGAAAAAUUGAUGUCUGAAGUUGACUGGAAUUAAACAAUUCCAUAUUCUCUUUGCAACAAAACAGUCCCUAAGUGCAUGCAUCGCGUUUUCUUUCUCAUGGCCACAUCUUUCGCAAUUCAUUUUAUCCAGAAUAUGCCUCUUAAAAAGCUCCUCUCUAGUUUUAAUUUUUCCAUGCAUCACCAACCAUAAAAGAAUUUAACUCGUUGGGGCCCGGAAAGGGACUUCCUUAAUUAUUUUUCAAAAGCACAUCCUAUAAAACUCCAACAGAUGGAGUCCAAGUUCUAGAAUAGAUGAAUAAAUGAUGUCAAUUAAAUGGCAAUAGCACACCAAAGAAGACAGAGAAACAAGUUAGGAGAGAUUCUAGAGUAUACCAAAAGUAUUACAUCUAAUUAAUAUUUAUAUGUUAUGUGUGUAUUUAUUUUAAAAAAUUAUUAUGUAAUUAAUAAUUAUAUUUAAUUGAACUAUACAUAUCAUAUAUGUAUUAGUUAUAUGUAGCACCUAUAUUAUACUCUAGAAUUUCUCACAAGAUAAUAUGUCAAUAUACCACAAACACAAAGUUUGAAUCCUGUGAAAUAUGUUUAAAAUUGACUCUUGUAGAAAUUAUUAUGUGGUGGUGAAAUUAUUAUGAUAAAUAAUAUAUUAACACAUGUCAAUAUAUAAUUAUGCUACAUCAAUGAGGGUACCAUCGGUUUCACAUUUUUAUUUUACGUCUUAACUUUUGUAUUGGCCAUAUUAGUUUUGUAUUAUAUAUAUAUAUAUAUAUAUAACUACUAAGUUAUUUUUUGCAAUCAAUAAAUAUCUAAUAACUCAAUACUUUUAUAUUUAUGCUCAUAAAAUUUUUACUUUUUAAAUAAAUAUUAAAAUAUCUUAAAAAUAAUAAAUUAUAUUUUUUUAACACUAAUUAAAACAAAUAAUUUUCACAUUUAAUCUUGUUUUAGUUUAUAACAUGGACCAUUCACUCACCACUUGGCAUAACUUUGUAACCUAGGUCCUGUUUGGAAUCGAAGUAUUAUACCUUUUAAGUUACAACUGCCGUAAAAAUUUUGUAAUUAUAAAAAAAAAAUUAAUAGCUCUGAACUUAAUGAUUGCUUCUAAACUUUAGGUAUUUAUUUAUUUAAUUAAUUGUCUAAAAUUUACUUGUUAAUGUUAUUGACAAUACUUAUGUAUUGAUUAAAAAGAUGAAGUAAGGUAUUGAUCUUAUUGAUCAACAGAAAUAUUUUAUAUUAGAUUGACGUAUUUGUGUAUUUAUUUUAAUGUUAAAACUUUAAUUUCUCAUUUAUAUUGAUAAAAUUUAGAAAUGGGUAUUAUAUGUAGAGUUUUAAGCUCCUAUUAUAAAUUUAUAGUUUGACUUAUAUAAUUAAAUUUAUUUUUUGUCUUUUUAAAAGUAUUGUUUUAAUAUUUGUGAAGUAAAAACCCAUUGCAGGUUACGCGAGGAUUUAGUAAUUGUUCAAACCUACAGCAAGUGAAUUUUUUUUUUUAAAUAAAAAACCCAUAGCGAGUUAAGAAUUUACUGAUUUAAUUACUUUUUACAAGUGCAUGUUUGAUAAUGAUAAAAUCACUGCACUGAAAGGAAUUCUAUGAAGAAUAUAAUUCUUGUUCUGUAUUUUUAAUGAAAUUUACAGAAUUAUUUAUACAAAUAAAGACAAUGUAGCCGUUGAAAGGCUUAAUAAUAUUAAAGGAGAAUAAGUGAAUACUUCCUAAACUAUUGCACAAUAUCUUUAUAAAAUAGGAAUGAAAUAUUCCUACAUGAUAUUGACAUUCAAGUGCAAAAAUCGUGCCGGGCAUAUUCCUUGACAAAUAACUUUGACGUGAGUGUUAGGAAAUUGGUAGGUGAAGCAGACACGCAGCUAAAGUGAAAUUGUAAGAAAAUAAAGAACAAGCACAAUAGAGAACACCAGAAAUUACGUGGUUCGGCAUUUAGCCUACGUCCACGGGCAAAAACAGAAGGAAAUAUUUUACUAGUGAAAAGGAGUUACAAGUAUUGUAAUAUUUUAGCUCACUACUCAAAACCCCAAUACACCCAAACUCUCUCAAUCACUGUAAUAAGAGCUUAUAAAUGCAAGCUCUUAAACUCCCUAAAUUGCUCUCUAAAAUGGAAUGCAUAAACUCUUCAUUUGUACUUCUAUUUAUAGCAAACUAGUGGCCAAGAAAAUCAAAGCCGUGUUCACCAAAUUCUUCAUCAAAACCGUGUGCAGCAAAUUCAAUCUUCAAACUUGUUGCAAGCUUACCAUUCUUGUCAAAGCUUCUAGAUGCAGCCAUGCCAAACACUUCUAGAUGCAGCCAUGCCAAACACUUCUAGAUGCAGCCAGUAGUGGAUUUCCUUUUAUCAAGGUCUCCUACAAAAUCUGAAUCCACAUAGCCACUGAUAGUAAACUCUGAUCCUCCAUAACAUAAUGCAACAUCUGAGGUUCCUCUGAUGUAUCUCAGAAUCCUCUUCACAGAUAUCCAAUGCUCUCCACCAGGAUUCGCCAUGUAUCGACUGACUGCUCCCACUGCUUGUGCAAUGUCCGGUCUAGUACAUAUCAUAGCGAACAUCAAACUUCCCACUGCUGAUGCAUACGGUACUCGAGACAUCUCCUUCCUCUCUGCUUCAUUGCUAGGACACAUACUUGAGGAUAAUUUGAAAUUAACAGGAAGUGGGGUAAAAAUUGACUUAUAAUCUUGCAUGUUGAAGCGUCGCAAGAUUUUCUUCAAGUAAUUCUUCUGCGAAAGUCAAAUCUUCUUGUUAUUUCUGUCUCGGUGAAUUUGCAUCCCUAGAAUCUUGUUUGCUGGUCCCAAGUCCUUCAUUUCAAACUCCCUAGCCAACUGUGCCUUCAAUUCUUGGACUCGAUCUUUGUUGGGGCCUGGUACCAACAUGUCAUCCACAUACAACAGUAAAAUAAUGAAAUCAUUAUCUUCAAACCUCUUGUAAUAUGCACAAUGGUCUGAACUGAGUCUGUUGUAUCCAAGGCUCAUAAUGAAGGAAUCAAAUCUCUUAUACCAACACCUCGGCGCCUGUUUGAGACCGUAUAGAGAUUUGUUCAACCUGCAAACCAAGUUCUCCUUUCCUGUUUCUGCAAAACCUUCUGGUUGGAGCAUAUAUAUUUCUUCUUCAAGUUCUCCAUGAAGAAAUGCAGUUUUCACAUCUAACUGCUCUAGAUGUAAGUCAAAUGUAGCACACAUUGCCAAGACUAUUCUGACUGUUGUGAGUCGAACCACCGGAGAAAAUAUCUCGUUAAAGUCAAUACCUUCUUUCUGAGCAUAUCCUUUCACCACCAGUCUUGCACGAUACCGCUCCACUUAGUCAUUGCCAUCACGUUUGAUCUUGUAGACCCAUUUGUUUCCAAUGGCUUUUCUUCCACGUGGUAGUGGUACAAGUUCCCAUGUCUUGUUCUUGUGUAGAGCUUCAAUUUCUUCCUGCAUUGCUGUCAUCCACAAAGCAACAUCUGAGCUGUUUAAAGCUUCAUGGAAAGUUAAAGGCUCUCCAUCCUCUGUCAGAAGACAGUAUGCAACAUUGAUCUCUAUGACAUACUCCAAGUGCCACGUUGGCGGUCGUCUCUCACGAGUUGACCGACGAAUUUCUUGAGCCUCGGACUCGACUGGUUCUUGUUCCUCUUGCUCUAGUGCUGCUUCAGAAGAAUCUGAAUCUUCUGGAUUAUUUUUCACAUAUACCGGUACAGUCUCUGACUUUUCUUUUACAGUGCUAUCAUCAUCAUCUUUCCUUUGCAGUUGAUCUUCUACAAAAAUAACAUCUCUGCUGAUGACGAUCUUGUGGGCAGUGGGAUCCCACAGACGAUACCCCUUUACUCCAUCAGCAUAUCCCAAGAAGAUACAUCUUCUAGAUUUUGCAUCCAGCUUUGUUCUUUCUCGGGCAUUGUACAUCACGUACACAGGACAUCCAAAUGCAUGUAGGUAGGAAUAAUCAGUUGGCUUUCCAGUCCACAUCUCAAUCGCCGUCUUCAACCCAAUUGCUGUAGAUGGCGACCGAUUUACUAUAUAACAGGCAGUUUUGGCUGCUUCUGCCCAGAAUGAAUUGGGUAGAUCAGCAGUCCUCAACAUAGCUCUUAUCCGUUCUGUAAGAGUUCUGUUCAUCCGCUCUGCCACUCCAUUUUGUUGAGGAGUGUAUGCCACCGUAAACUGCCUCUGAAUACCUUCUUGCUUACAGAAAGCAAGAAACUCUCCGUCUGUAUACUCUCCACCAUUAUCUGUCCUCAAGCACUUGAUCUUUUUACCAGAUUCAAGUUCCACCCGCGCUUUGUAUUCUUUAAACACUAGAAAUACAUCUGACUUUUUCUUAAUUGGAUACACCCAACAUCUUCUGGAAUAAUCAUCAAUGAAAGUCACCAUGUACUUUGCACCUCCCAUGGAUAUAUCCAGUGAUUCCCAAACAUCAGAAUGAAUCAAGUCUAGAAUGCAUUUACUUCUAGCAAUAGAUCUACUAAAUUUUAAUCUAUGCUGCUUACUUAUAACACAAUGCUCGCAAAAUGGUAAACUUACCGAUUUGAGCCCCGGAAGCAAUUUUCGCUCAGAGAGAAUCUUCAAACCUUGUUCUGACAUGUGACCAAGUUUGAGAUGCCACAUCAUAGUUGACUCUUCUCCAUUUGAUGCGACACACGCAUCAGCCUCCUGUAGUGUUUCUCCUUUAAGCAUGAAUAGAUUAGCACCGAUCUUUUCUGCUUUCAUCAAUACAAGCGCGCCUUUAACAAUCUUCAUAAUUCCAUUCUCCACAUGAGUUUUGCACCCAUGAUUGUCUAUUUGUCCUAAAGACAAUAGAUUUUUCUUCAGGCCAUUGACAUGUCGUACCUCCCCAAUUGUGCGAAUUGUACCAUCAAAUAUUUUUAUUUUGAUAGUACCAAUACCAGCGAUCUCCAAGGCAUGAUUGUUACCCAUAUAUACAAAUCCUCCUGAGAUAGGUUCAUAUGUGUGGAACCAUUCUCUCCUAGAGGUCAUGUGCCAGGUAGCUCCUGAGUCUAUAAGCCAGACAUCAGAAAGUCAUUUUCUGCCUUCUGAAACAGUUGUUGCCUCACUGUAGAGAAUUUCGCCAUCAUCCGAGGUACUUGCUACACACCCCUGAGCAUUUGAUGACUCAGGUUCUUUGCCUUCUCUUCACUUCUGGUUACUCCAACACUCUUUCUUGACGUGCCCUUUCUUGCCACAGUUGUAGCAUUUAACAUUCUUCUUACUUCUGGAUUUUGAUCUACCAUGAUUUUGACUCCCACUAGGGCCACGUUCCGUUGAUCUCCCUCUCAUCACCGAUAGCGCCUCCGCUUGCUGCGAACUUGCUAGUCUGUUUUCCUUAUUUUUCCGCAUGCUCUCCUCAUUUAAUACGGAGGCUGCAACAUCGUCGAAAACUAGACUGUCCGCUGGAUUAUUGUUCGUCAGGUUGAUGAUGAGUUGAUCAUACGAAUCUGGUAGACUUUGAAGUAGAAGCUCUGCAUGUUCAUUUUCCUCUAUAUUAUGACCCAACGUUGUGAGUUGUGAAAAUAGAGUCUUCAAGGUGUUGAUGUGGUCAGUCACUAUUGUAGAUUCUGCCAUUCGAAGAGUAUAGAGUUUCCUCUUCAAGAAGAUUUUAUUGUGUAAUGACUUGGCCUCGUACAAUUUUGUGAGAGUAUCUCAUAUUUCCUUCGCCGUAUUUUUCUCUGCCACACUGGAUAAUACUCCAUCUGCAAGUGCCAAGUGUAGAUCAGAAAUGGCGUUGCCGUCUACCUCGUUCCACUUGUCAUCAGUUAUCUCCAUGGGCCUUUCUCCAAUUGCUGCCAAGCAAUUAUUUUUCCUCAAUACAGCUUUCAUCUUCAUUUUCCACAACGAAAAAUUAUUUCCGUUAAAUUUCUCAAUUUCAUACUUUGCCGCCAUUUUGUUGAUAAAUACUGCACACAAGCUAGUAUACCACCUUGAAUAGUUGUGAGUAUGUGUGAGAAUGCACACCAGGAAAGUUCCCAGGAAAGACUGGAGGGGUCACAAUGGUCCCACUUAAAACCCAGACUCCUUAAGCUCUUAUUGCCUUUGUGACAGAACUUUCCUAGACAUGUACAAAACCACACAGUUGCUUUACUCACACCACUAUUCCCUGCUUUGCACCGUAAAAUUCUUGGAUCGCUCCCACCGUUUCACGUGAAUAGUACCGUAUACGUGAAUAGUACCGUAUAUGUGAACAAAACCGUAUACGUGAACAAUACCGUAUACGUGAAAUAGUGUCGUAUAUGUGUAUAGUGCCGUAUACGUGAAUAGUACCCCUUACGUGAACAGUUCCUGACUCCAAAAAAUACAACCAAUAGCUCUGAUACCACUGUUAGGAAAUUGGUAGGUGAAGCAGACACGCAGCUAAAGUGAAAUUGUAAGAAAAUAAAGAACAAGCACAAUAGAGAACACCAGAAAUUACGUGGUUCGGCUUUUAGCCUACGUCCACGGGCGAAAACAGAAGAAAAUAUUUUACUAGUGAAAAGGAGUUACAAGUAUUGUAGUAUUUUAGCUCACUACUCAAAACCCCAAUACACCCAAACUCUCUCAAUCACUGUAAUAAGAGCUUAUAAAUGCAAGCUCUUAAACUCCCUGAAUUGCUCUCUAAAAUGGAAUGCAUAAACUCUUCAUCUGUACUUCUAUUUAUAGCAAACUAGUGGCCAAGAAAAUCAAAGCCGUGUUCACCAAAUUCUUCAUCAAAACCGUGUGCAGCAAAUUCAAUCUUCAAACUUGUUGCAAGCUGACCAUUCUUGUCAAAGCUUCUAGAUGCAGCCAUGCCAAACACUUCUAGAUGCAGCCAUGCCAAACACUUCUAGAUGCAGCCAACUUUGACAGUGAGCAAGUCCUGUGGAGUGAUAAACCCGUUCUUGACUUGACCGUUGAUGACUUUCCUUUUGGUAAUCUUGGUCUGCUUGCUUAACAAGUGGUACCCGUAACCCAUCCAUACAGCUAGCCUAGCUAAACAGCAUAAAUAAAUGUCUAACGAUUCUUAUAUAAAAAGCCACCACCCCAAGCCAAAAGAAAAAAAAAAUUGUGCUGAACACAACAAUAUAAUUUCUUCAGUUAUAUUUACUUGGAAACAAGAGAGAUGAAUAUGAAGAAGCAGAAGCCAAAAGCUAUUGUAGUUGGAGGAAGCAUUGCUGGGGAAUCAUGCGCAAAAGCACUUGUUUCAGCAGGCUGGGAUGUUGUUGUGAUUGAGAAAACUCGUGGACCCCCAACCCAAAACCCAACCGGUGCUGGCCUUGGACUCGAUCCAUUGGCUCAGAAAAUUGUUCAGUCAUGGCUCCAUGAACCUGAACUUCUUUACAACAACACUUUACCUAUCACCAUUACUGAGGUAUAUAAAAUAAUAUAUUUAAUUUCUUUUUUCCCAGUAGAAUCCAGUAGUGCUUUGAAUUAUUUUUUUUUCUUUUAACCACGAGGUAUCCUGGGGAGGGCCCCAACUGUGGGAGACACCUUUAAGCCUGUACCACAACCCAGACUGGAAGUCCCCGCUCGAACCGGGAGACACAGGUUCUCCCAACAAAGGCGACUUCCCUGCAACUCGUGUAUACUUUGAAUUAUACCGAUCUCUUAAAGAUAUUAGUUGCACACGUGUAUAUACAAUGGUGUAUGGUUAAGAUUUGAUAAAAGUAUAUUUUGCUCUGCACAAAAUACAAUUUAGAAUGGAAUUUCAUUGGGAAAAAAAUAUCUAUAUAUGUUGAAUAUAUAAAAUUUCAAUUUGUGUUUAAUUGCAGAACCUAGCAACAGAUGGGGAAAAGAAGAUCAGCUGGGUAAUAGGAAGAGAAGAAGGCGCUAGGUUUCUGACAGCAUAUUGGGCUGAUCUUCAUGGCCUUAUAUACAAUACUCUGCCACCUGAAAUAUUUUUAUGGGGUCACCAGUACCUCUCUUUCUGUAUUUCUGAAGACAAAUUAACUGUCAAAGUUAGAGCUAAGGAUCUUGAGACUGAUGAAAUAAUCGAGAUAGUAGGAGAUUUGCUCGUCGGAGCAGAUGGGAUCCUCUCAUCAAUUGGUCAGAGCAUUCUACCUGACUUCAAAUUGAG